This 80358-nucleotide long non-coding RNA is filed under the name Triticum aestivum (bread wheat). RNAcentral describes it as "long non-coding RNA (TAES_LNC001860)". The record is from RNAcentral. Lineage: Eukaryota; Viridiplantae; Streptophyta; Magnoliopsida; Poales; Poaceae.
UUUUUUUUAGUAAACCCUAGUUGGUUUCAGAGGGGACUGGGGGUUCUGUCAUCCCCAUUUCAGGUUUCUGAUGAAAGAGUAAACAUGAUGCAACACUCUAAUGCAUGGCUAACUAGGAUGUGACAACUCACCCCCACUCAAAAGAAUCUCGUCCCGAGAUUUGGGUUCCUCCAGGAAGAAGGCGGGAUACUCAAGUCGAAGACGAUCCUCCCUUUCCCAAGUUGCUUCAUCCUCAGAAUGGUGCGACCAUUGAACUUUGAGAAACUUGAUAUUAUGACGUCGAGUGGUACGCUCGGCCUGAUCGAGGAUACGAAUGGGGUACUCUCGAUAUGUAAGAUUAUCUUGGAGAUCAAGCGUUUCGUAGUCCACUCCACGGAUAGGAUCCGAGAAGCAACGCCUGAGUUGAGAAACGUGGAAGACAUCGUGGACUCUGGAGAGGUGCGGAGGUAGUUCCAACUGGUAGGCAACUUCUCCUCGUUUGGCGAGAAUGCGAAAAGGUCCAAUGUAACGAGGAGCCAAUUUGCCUUUGAUACCGAAACGAUGGGUUCCCUUCAGAGGGGUAACCCGAAGAUAAGCCUUCUCGUCAACCUCGAAAGUCAUAGACUUAUGUUUUCGGUCAUAUUGACUCUUUUGACGAGAUUGGGCUGUUUUCAACUUUUCACGAACGAUGCGAACUUGUUCUUCUGCUUCCUGAAUCAUAUCUGGGCCAAAGAAUUGUCUUUCCCCGGUCUCUGACCAGUUAAGGGGUGUUCGACACCGUCGUCCAUAGAGAACUUCAAAAGGGGCUUUACCCAAGCUAGAUUGAUAGCUGUUGUUGUAAGCGAAUUCGGCAAAUGGAAGGCAUUUCUCCCAACCCAUUCCGAAUGAGAUAACAGAGGCUCGAAGCAUGUCUUCUAGAAUCUGGUUGACUCGUUCCACUUGACCACUCGACUGAGGGUGGAAAGCGGUGCUAAAGGAGAGACGGGUUCCCAUAGCAUUUUGGAAACUUUCCCAAAAUCGAGAGGUGAAAAGACUUCCUCGAUCCGAGUUAAUUUCCAAGGGAACACCAUGGAGAGACACUAUUCGGGAGAUGUAUAAGUCUGCCAAUUGACUAGCGGUUAUACUCUCAUGAACAUGUAGGAAAUGGGCUACUUUGGAAAGACGAUGGACAACGACGAAAAUAGCAUUAUUCCCUCUCUUGGUCCUGGGAAAACCGGUAAUGAAAUCCAUACUAAUUUUAUCCCAUUUCCAUUCAGGAAUAGCUAAGGGUUGAAGGGUGCCAGCAGGCCGUUGAUGCUCUGCUUUUACACGACGACAGACGUCGCAAUUAGCAAUAUACUGAGCAAUUUCUCUCUUCAUCCUAGUCCACCAGAACCUCUGGCGUAGGUCCUGAUACAUCUUGGUACUACCGGGAUGGAUGGUGAGAGGAGAUUCAUGAGCCUCCUUAAGGAUCAACUGCCGUAGAUGCUGGUUCUUGGGAACCACUAAACGGUUCUCAAAGUACACAACACCAUGAUCAUUUGUGGAGAAACAACUAGCACCUCCACUAGCAAUGUUCUCCUUGAUUUUAGAUAUUCCCUUAUCUCGCUUUUGGGCAGCGAUGAUAUGAUCCGUAAGAGUAGGUUUCGCCACCAAGGUGGAAAGAAAUCCUUGAGGAACAAUGUGAAGGUUAAGCUUCCGAAAUUCCUCAUGGAGAAGCGGUUGACCUUGUUGUAACAUCAGGUUGUUACAAUAAGAUUUACGACUUAGCGCAUCAGCCAUGACGUUGGCUUUCCCUGGGGUGUAAGUUAUUCCUAAGUCGAAAUCUGUGAUCAACUCGACCCAACGUCUUUGCCUGAGAUUCAAAUCCGGUUGGGUGAAGAUGUACUUCAGACUUUGGUGAUCAGUGAAUAUUUCGCAACGAUUACCGAGGAGGUAAUGUCGCCAGGUUUUAGUGCAUAGACUACGGCUGCAAGCUCUAGAUCAUGAGUAGGAUAAUUCUCCUCAUGUGGGUGCAAUUGCCGUGAAGCGUAAGCAAUUACGUGUCAAUCUUGCAUGAGGAUGCAACCUAGUCCUUGUCGCGAGGCGUCGCAGUAGAUAACAAAGUCCUUAGAGAAGUCUGGCGGUACCAGUACGGGAGCAGAAGUCGGGCGUCUUUUCAGUUCCUGAAAGCUGUGCUCACAUUGUGGAGUCCAUUCGAACUUCUUAUCUUUCUUGAGGAGUUCGGUUAGAGGUUUAGCAACUUUGGAGAAGUUUUCGACAAAGCGACGGCAAUAGCUCGCUAAGCCCAGAAAACUCUGAACUUGCUUGACCGAUUCAGGUGGAGUCCAAUUAAGGACGGCUUGAACUCGCUCAGGGUUAACAGCAAUACCUUUACCAGAUAUUACAUGACCCAGAUAGGUCACUUCCGACAACCAAAAUUCACAUUUGGAAAACUUGGCAUAAAGGCGGUGCUCUCGAAGUUUCUUAAACACUAGCCUUAGAUGUUCGGCAUGUUCCUCCUCGUUCUUGGAGUAGAUGAGUAUAUCAUCGAGAUAAACUACGACGAAUUUAUCCAAAUACUCCAUGAAGAUUGAGUUCAUUAACCGAGAAAAGGUGGCUGGAGCGUUGGUUAAACCGAAGGACAUGACGGUGUACUCGUAUUGGCCAUAACGAGUAACAAAGGCCGUUUUAGGAAUGUCCCCGUUUCUGAUUUUGAUUUGAUGGUAGCCCAACCUCAAAUCCAUCUUGGAGAAGACUGAGGAUCCAGCGAGCUGAUCAUACAGGUCGUUGAUCCUGGGAAGCGGAUAUUUGUUCUUGAUUGUGACCAAAUUGACAGGUCGAUAAUCUACAACCAUCCGGUCCGUACCAUCCUUCUUCUUGACGAACAGGACGGGGCAAGCCCACGGAGAUGAACUAGGUCGGAUGAAACCCUUUUUCAAGGACUCAUCGAGUUGUUUCUUAAGCUCGGCUAGUUCUAGUGGUGCCAUCUUAUAGGGUCUUCUAGCAAUCGGAACGGUUCCUGGAAUGAGGUCUAUUACGAACUCAACAUCCCUGUCACGUGGAACACCUGGCAAUUCCUCUGGGAAGACAUCCAGGAAGUCACGGACUACCGGAACGUCCUCAAGGUCUGGCAAAGGGCUGGUGUUAAGAGAAUAUAAUUGUCGCUUGGCUAAUCGGGUCAAGACAUUGACUAUCUUCCCCGAAGGAUGAGUGAGUUGAACAGUCCUAGAGUAGCAAUCAAUUUUGGCAUGAUGAGCUGACAUCCAGUCCAAACCCAAAAUGAUAUUAAUAUCUGAAAAUUUGAGAGCUAUCAAAGAUGCAAGGAAAACAAGUCUAUCGACUUGGAUUUCAUUUCCAUAACUUACCCUGGAGGUCUGCCAUCUAGAACCGGGAGUAGAAAUUUCCAUAGUGGAUGGCAUGUUACAGAAUGCGGUGUUAUGCAAACGAGCAUAGUUCUCGGAUAUAAAUGAAUGAGAGGCUCCUGUAUCGAAAAGAACAGAUGCCGGGUGGCAAUUAACAAGGAGCGUACCAAGAACGACGUUGGGAUCCUCUUGAGCUUCUUCGGCAGAGAUACAGUUGACAUGGCCACGUAUAGCGGUGGCCGGCUUGGCGUGGAACACUUUCCCUGUCGGCUUGCCACGGCCAACAACUUUAGCAGAUUGGUUGGGGUUGGUCUGGGGACACUCACGCAUAUAGUGACCAGAUUCCCCACACUUGAAACAGGUCACGGAACUGGUACGUGGAGGAGCAUUGUUGGUUGGACCACCAUAGGGCUUGGCUGGUGCAGACUGUUGAACAGGGCGAGGCACCUGGAAGGAUGGCCUCGGUGUGAACCUGGGUGGCAGGGCAGUGUUGGGCACCCACACGCGGCGCUUCUGAGGACCAGCACCGGAUGAGGAACCCACGUCACGGCCAUGCUUGCGUGUUGCAUCAUAAUCAGUCUGACCAGUUUCAGCACUGAUGGCCUUGUUAACAAGUUUCUGAAAAGAUGUGCACUCAUGCAGACGGAGGUCGCGGCGAAGCUCAGGACUAAGCCCCUUACGGAACCUUGCUUGCUUCUUGGCAUCAGUAGAAACUUCCUCAGUUGCAUAUCGUGCGAGGUUACCGAACUCCCUGCUAUAAGCAUCCACAGAGAGUCGGCCCUGAGUGAAACUGCAAAAUUCCUCACGUUUACGGUCCAUGAGACCCUCCGGAAUGUGAUGUUCACGGAAAGCCUCGCUGAAUUCAGUCCAAGUAGUGACAUGGCCCGCUGGGCGCAUAGCUCCAUAAUUCUCCCACCAUAGACUGGCGGGGCCUUCAAGAUGAUAUGCAGCAAAGGUGACCUUGUCAGCCUCCGCUACCAGCGCGGAACGCAGUUUGUGAGAAAUACUGCGAAGCCAAUCAUCAGCGUCGAGAGGCUCGACGGAGUGGUGGAACGUGGGUGGAUGUAACUUGAUAAAAUCACUGAGUGACACCACGUUAGUCCUCUGAUGGUGUGCCGUGUUCUGUUCAAUACGCUCCAACAAACGGUUGGUCUCCCGCUUGUUUCUUUCGGCUUCCAUCAUAACCUCGGCUAGGGAAGGAGGAUGAGGCAGAUUUGCAUUCCUGACUUCGCUGCCUUCGGCCUGCUCUUGAGGAGCAGGGUUAGUGCGCGUGUUGACCAUCCUAGGUAAACAAGACAAUGAUUUAGUCAGGAUGAUAAAAUUCCGACAUAGGAUACAGAAUGUAAGGAAUAACUCGGAAUGCAAGAUGAUCAUCCGUAUGACAUGGUAGAUACAGAAACUGCUUCUUUAUUCCAUCAUCAUACACACCAUAUAGGGUUUAGUACAAGACCAAACAAGAUACUAUUACGGUGAAAAGAGGAUUACAUCUCAUCGGAGGCAUUCCAAGCUCCUAUACAUUAUUUUUCUACACCUCCGGAAGGCGAUACAAACUAGGUCAUAUCCCACGAGUCACGUAGGACGAUAGACGACACAACUAACACGAACUAGUGAUACUACCACUAACUCAGACCGAUCCGUAGUAGUCCUCGUAGAAGUCACCUCCACAGCCUGGAAGCUCAACAUGAUCAUCCGGAAACAGACGAUCUCGCGGAGCUUGUGGACCAUAGGGGCUAGGAUGAGGUCUUGGACCAACAGACGGUGGCCUGCGGGGACCGCGAGGUGGGGUGAUGCCUCCUACAUCACGCCAACCCAUCAUGUCUGGCAAAGCAGAUCUCACAGGAUAGAGAUCGCGCAUAUCCGAAUAUCCAGCUUGCACCGCCGGUGCAAACCGAGUCAAUGUGGCCCAGUGGUCAGCACAGGUAUUGAAGAGCUCUAACCUCAAGGCCCGAUUUUCACGGUCCUUAUCCUCGAGCAUCUCAGCAGUGGUGCGAGUCCGUGAAUCCUCCUGGGUGGGGUCAGCAUAGAUAGCCUGGAGAUACCCUUGUGCUCCCGGAAGUGAUCCCGGCAUAUACGGGAAAUCAGAGUCCCGAAAUAGACCAGACCUGACUCGCAUGAUGGUCAUCAUAGAGUAGGCGGCGUCCUGCACAGCCAUCUCAAUAGUAACCCCGAGUCCAUAGAAGCAGUGAAGGGGCUCGGUGGAUCCAAGAUAAGAUGGAAAUAUCCUGACAGUGCAGAGAUACUGGCUUUGAUUAAAGUCCCGAAAUUGCUCUUCGACCGUGUACUCAGGAUACCAACGGUAUCCAGCCUCGGUCAUUACCCUGACCAACAUGGCGGUAUGACCGGGUACAUCUAGGCAUCGAGUCAGGCGAACCACUUGAUUAAGGUCGCGAGUGGCCAUCUGAAAGCACAAUCAUAAUGCAAAGGCAUUAGAAUUUCUAGCAAAAUUUCGGCAGCAUAACAGCUGUAAAUGCUCAAGAAGGAUUUUGAGACAUUUGACAAAGGAUUUCAUACACACUCAACAUCUUCAUAUCAAAGUUCUGAAUCCAUUCUAACAACAUAAUGUGGUAGUAGAACUGAACUAGGCUUGUAUCCAUCAAACUUAUAAGGUACUACUGAUUAGUAACACGUGAUCCUGAUAGAGAGAAUAGAUCCUAAUUCCUUAACCCCCGGUGGAAGAAUAGACUGACUCAGAUCAGAAUGUUAUAAGAUAAAGGAGUAAAAAGAGCCUUACGUGCCAACCCACAAACAAUUCCCCUACAUAUAACUAAAGAAUUUCUAGACUCAACAUCGACCAGUUUGGCUUGGAGAACCUACAGGCAGUCCGGCUCUGAUGCCAACGCUGCCAGGACCCCGACUCGAUGUCACAUCAAUCUAGCUUGUAACACCUCAUAUCACUUUGCGGCCUCACGCACGGUAUCCCCACGGUGUCGCCUUACCUUUGCCCGGGACCGUUUGCGCCUUUUGGCUCACGUAUAUGAUAGUGUCGCUAGCAUCCAUAUGAUAAAGAGCCCGGGCUGACAUGACUAGUCGUAAACCCAAAGUGGCACAGACUUACAGGGACAGGCAUCCAUGACCCAGCUUCGAACGUGUCGGUCAUCAGCAAGUGGGUCCGGGCUGUAGCACUGGGCUAGCAGGACUCCGGUAAACCGGGCUGUAGCGGGCUAACAGGACUCCGGUACUCAAUGCGUGAAAUUUCCCCGAAGGGACAGACACCGGAACGAAGAAGGACACAUGCCGGCCAGCCUAAGUGUUCCAGAGCAGUAGCAAGCUACCAUGGCUCAGCGGUAACACUAGGAGACAUUUCCCGGUAAGAGAGGCUACUAAAGAUAAACAACUAGAUAGUCAGAUCCCACACAUUCCAAGCAUUUCAAUCAUACACACAAUAUGCCCGAUAUGUGCAAAUACAACAAGUCAUCACAACAUGACUCUACGACACAAGCACUUUAUUUAAGGCUCAGAGAGCCAUACAUAACAUACACAAAGGUACGGGUCACACGACCCAGCAUUCAAGUCAUACGGUCAUACAAACUAGCAGCGGAAGUAACUUGUCUGAGUACAGACAACUAGCAAAAUAAAAGAGGCUUGGAAAGCCUAGCUAUACUACGAGGUCCUUCACAAGCUGAGGAUCACCACCUGGGCCUUAGCCUACUCAUUGAUGUCAACGUCUACGAAGAACCCAUCAGAAGGGGUUGCAGCGUCUUCUGUAAAAAAUGUAAAUUAUAGCAACAUGACUACAAAGGUACUCAGCAAGACUUACAUCAGAUCCUACAUACAUGCAUAUUAUCAAGAAGGGUUGGUGGAGUUAUUGCAGCAAGCCAGCUUUGACUCUUGGCUAGGCUAACCUACGAGACUCCAACUUGAAAUGGUUUUGCGCACACGAGUCCGCUACUCUCCACUUCAAUACACUACCGAGGAUCCACCUUCGUCUUCCUACGGAAGAGCCAUCCUCGGCACUCACACUUAUCUUGAGGCUUUUAGUAGUUUCCAUUUACUUGUCUAUGAACUGUAUAGGCAACCAAGUAGUCCUUUACCGCGGACGCGGCUAUUCGAAUGGAUCAUGAUAACCCUGCAGGGGUGUACUUCUUCAUACAUGUUUCCACCACUUAGCGUCUGCACACGACAUGUGCUCGGCAGACUUCAAGUGAAAGCCGACGUGGGUGUAGACCACGACCUACCUAAACACUUAAGCCUCUAGUCCAGGUUUAUCGCCUAUCCAGGUUCCAUCCGCAGGGAGUCCGGCCGAGGUUUCCCAUACGGCCCCGAACGAUGUGAACAGGGUUCCCGAGAUACCUAACGGGUAUUCGGUACACCCGGCCACGUACCUACCGCAUCACAGCCCACCCCUACGGUCAGCGCUGUCCACGGCCUCCAGUAGGCUACAAACACCAGAAACUACUUGCAACUCCUAGACAGAGAGCUAGGGUGAAUAACAAGUCGAGCGGGGUCAUAUUUCAGGGCCCAAUGCAUGGUAGUAGCUGUAUCUUAAAUCACACAUAUAGAUCUCAGUGCUUAAGGUCGGCUUCAAUGAAACAACCCACCAUGUACUCCUACAUGGCCUCUCAUCGAUACCUUUACCAAAUCGUGUUCACCACACCACUCUCAUUACCGACAUAAUCAUUUCACUCUAGCCCAUCACCCAGAUGAACCAGACCUGACACGACUCUAAGCAUAGCAGGCAUAGCAAGGUAGGAACAACACAUACAUAUGGCUCAAUCAACUCCUACACAUGCUAGUGGGUUUCAUCUAGUUACUGUGGCAAUGACAGGUCAUGCAGAGGAAGUGGGUUCAACUACCGUAGCACACAGCAGUUUGAAACGCGUUGUCUUAAUGCAGUAAAAGAGAGCAGGAGCGAGAACAUGGGAUUGUAUCGAUAUGAUCAAAUGGUUGGUUGCUUGCCUGAUGGUUCGAUGCACUGAUACGGUUCUUCGUUAGGGUAAUCACGAUACUCCUCGGAGGCAGAUCCUGCCGCAAAGAACACCGAUACACAACCAUCACCAAACAAUGUGCAACAAUAUGAUGCAUGCAUGAAACAUAGCAAUAUGAGUGUGUUGGGCUAAUGCAACUAAGACCAGAAGGGUUUGAACCAAUUUGAAUCAAAGAUUCAAAUUUCAAACUUAAACAUGGCCCUUUAAAGUGUUUUUCCUUGUUCUGUAUUAAACAUCAGGUUAACUUGUUUAAUCAUGCAUGAAAAUAGUACAGAUGGAUAGAUUGGAUUUUUCUGAUCAUUUUUCAUAUAUAAUUUGUCUGCUUUGGAGUUACAGAAUAAAAGUUAUGAAUUUUUGAAGUUUAAAUUAUAUUCUGGAAUUUCCUAUAUUAGAAUAAUUCUAGAAAAUCAAUUAUUGCGUCAGCCUGACGUCAGUGUGACGUCAGCAGGUCAACGGAACACGUCCGGGUCAAACCUGACAGUGGGUCCCGCAUGUCAGGGUGAUUAAAUUAAUUAAAGUUUAAUUAAAACUAAACCUGUUUAAUUAACAGGGCUGGGCCCCACCUGUCAUUGACUCAGGGGAGUCAACCAGGGCCCACCCGUGGUCAAACCCGGGUCGCCUGCACCGGCGUUUAGCCGCCGGCGAGCCCGACGCGGCGACGGAAGUGGUUUUGGCUGUUUCAGCCACCAAAUGGGUCGCGGAGACCACCGGAGUGGAGCUGAGGACAAGCCGCAGCUCUUGGUGGAGUCCGUUGGGGUCGGGGUGGCCGGAGUUGGCGCCGGCGACGACUUUGGCGGCCACCGGGGUUCGGCCGAAGACGAACUUGACGCUAGAGGGGUCGGUGAGGCUCGGGGAGUGGCUAGCUAGGUGCUAAGAGACACGGUGAGCAUGAUGGACACCGUGGAGUGGCCGGAGGAUGACCGGGAGCACGUCGGCGACGAGCUCCACGGCGGUGGGUGCGGUUGAGCUCCGGGAGGUUGCUACAUGGCUCGGGAGCAAGAACGGAAGGAAGGGGGAGAUGGCUAAGCUCACAGUGAGUGCGACGAAGCCCUUGGCGUGGCCGGAGAUGGACCGGAGCGACGACGAUGUUGAAGGGGAUCUCCGGCGACGGCGGUUCGGGCGAGGUCAUUGCGGUGGACUCGGGCAUUGCGAGCGCUCGGGGCUCGGCUUGCUCGAUGGAGUGGACAGCGGCGGAGCUCCUGGACACGGUGAGAGGACGCACGGGCGGCGGGGAGCACGGCUACGACGAAGGCACGGCGAUGGUGGCGUCGGCCAUGGCGGGGGAGCGCGAGGGGGAGGAGCUGGAGAGGAGAGGGGGUGUCUGGGGGGUUCGGGGGAGCGAGGGAGGCCGGUCCACGACGUCACCGGGCGCGGGGAACGGCGAGGCGGCGAGCAGGUGCGUGGCGCACGCUGCGGUCGCCGUCGGGCACCUGCCUGCCUGCCUGGCCGGCAAGCAGCUCGCUGGAGCGGCGCUGGGCUGGGCCGGCAGGUGGGCCAGGAGCAGGCGCCAGGUAAGCUUUUUCCAUUUCUUUCUGUUUUCUGUUGUUUUUUUUACUUCUGCAACUUUGUUGAAUUAAAUAAAAUACUUAGGCUACUCCUAAAAUCACCAAACUACUCCUGGUCCAUAGUUGGAUUAUUUCCAACAUGAAACAUUUUAGCUUGGAGAUAUUUGAGCAUUUAAAUAUUUUAUAUAAUUUUAAAUGCCCAAAUUCAAAUAUUUAUGAUUUAAUUCAAAAACCCUAAGAUGGCCUAGGAAAAUGUGCAUCACUUUUGGCAGAGGUUCUGAACCAAGACAAAAAUGAUGGCCAUUUUAGAAGGGCAUUUCAGGUUCAUUGAAAAAGUUUUUAGUAAACCCUAGUUGGUUUCAGAGGGGACUGGGGGUUCUGUCAUCCCCAUUUCAGGUUUCUGAUGAAAGAGUAAACAUGAUGCAACACUCUAAUGCAUGGCUAACUAGGAUGUGACAAUACGGGCGUGGGUAACCCAACCGCGCCAUCAAUUGCGGUGCUUGGGGGAUAAGCGAGUUUUACCAGGCAAGUGGGGACGCUUAGUUUCAUCCGCCCAUAUAAAGGGAUAAGGAUUCACCUUUCUAUCCACGCCUUCUUCCUCCCUUACCCAUCCGUUUUCGCACACUCGAGCUCUAGCGCCCAAGUCCGCACUUCCCACCUCGAGCUUCUCCAAUCAUGUCCGGAGCGGGAGGCAGGUGGAUGGUCUCCUCCGUCACGGAGGGAGACAUCAAGAAGCUGCGCAGAGCCAGAUACCUAACCGCGAACAUCGCGCAUCGGCUGCCCGCCGCGGGGCAGAUCGUCCCUACCCCGGAACCUCACGAGAGGGUAGUUUUCCUUCACCACUUCCUCCACGGACUAGGGUUUCCCCUCCAUCCAUUCGUCCAUGGUCUCAUGUUCUACUACGGGCUGGACUUUCAUGAUCUGGCCCCGAACUUCAUCCUCAACAUUUCGGCGUUCAUCGUCAUGUGUGAGGCUUUCCUCCGCAUCCGGCCCCACUUCGGCCUGUGGUUAAAGACCUUCAAUAUCAAGCCGCAGGUGGUACGAGGCCAACAAGCAGAAUGCGGGGGAGCCAUGGUGGGCAAGAUGCCCAACGUCAUAUGGCUCGAAGGCUCCUUCGUGGAGACAAUAAAGGGAUGGCAGUCGGCGUGGUUUUAUAUCACCGAGCCGCGCGACGCCAAAUGGGCGACAGCCCCCGAGUUUCGAUACGGAUUCCCUACACGGCUCACUUCCUGGAAAGAGAAGGGCAUGUCGUGGGGUUCAUCGGUGGAGCUGGACGGACUCCAGAAAUGUAUCCGGAGUAUGGCAAGCAAGAAGCUCAUGCUUGUCAACAUAGUCCAAGUUAUGCUCAUCCACCGGAUCCUCCCAUGUCAACAACGGGAUUUUACCUUAUGUGAGUUCGACCCGGCCCAGCACCAGACUCUGAGCGAGCUCUUUGAUACGACGCACAAGGACGUCUGGAAGGAGCUGUUCAAGGGCGCCGAGGUCCCUCCUUCUCUCGCCAAGGAUCGUGGACUAAGCGCAAAGCGCCUAGCGCGUUCGGUGAGUUCAAUACGUCCCGUAAGACAUUUAUUUUUCCUAGCUUAAUUACGUGCGGGGUCUAAUCUCCAGGCCUUUGACAGGACUGGGUGGAGAUGUCGGGGCAGAUUGACUGUCCGGCCCCUUUGCCCGAAGAUACUGCGGGCGCUCUCCUGACGGAGAUGCUGACUCCGGCUCCUUACAAGGUGCCCGAGAAGACCAAGAAGGCCAAGGGAACCCGAAAGAGUUCCCGGCGCCAGGUGUUAUCGGACUCAUCGUCCGAUAACUCUGCAGAACACUCCUCCCCCGAAGGCGAGGAAGAAGAAGAAGAUGCUCCCUGAGGGAGUCCUGGAUUAGGGGGUGUUCGAGUAGCCGGACUAUACCUUCAGCCGGACUCCUGGACUAUGAAGAUACAAGAUUGAAGACUUUGUCCCGUGUCCGGAUGGGACUUUCCUUGGCGUGGAAGGCAAGCUUGGCGAUGCGGAUAUUCAAGAUCUCCUACCAUUGUAACCGACUCUAUGUAACCCUAACCCUAUCCGGUGUCUAUAUAAACCGGAGGGUUGUAGUCCGUAGGCAAUCAACUCCAUAUACAACAAUCAUACCGUAGGCUAGCUUCUAGGGUUUAGCCUCCUUGAUCUCGUGGUAGAUCUACUCUUGUACUACCCAUAUCAUCAAUAUUAAUCAAGCAGGACGUAGGGUUUUACCUCCAUCAAGAGGGCCCGAACCUGGGUAAAACAUCGUGUUCCCUGCCUCAUGUUACCAUCCGGCCUAGACGCACAGUUCGGGAUCCCCUACCCGAGAUCCACCGAUUUUGACACCGACAUUGGUGCUUUCGUUGAGAGUUCCUCUGUGUUGUCGCCUUUAGGCCCGAUGGCUCCUUUGAUCAUCAACAACGAUGCGGUCCAGGGUGAGAGUUUGCUCCCCGGACAGAUCUUCGUCUUCGGCGGCUUCGCUCUGCGGGCCAAUUCGCUCGGCCACCUGGAGCAGAUCGAAAGCUACGCCCCUGGCCAUCAAGUCAGGUUUGGAAGCUUAAACUACACGGCUGACAUCCGCGGAGACUCGAUCUUCGACGGGCUCGAGCCACGGCCAAGCGCGCCGCACUAUCUCGAGGGGCAUGAUCUAGCUCUGCCCCCGGACAGUGUCCUGGAGGCCGCACACGCAUCGGUUCUGACCCCUAACUCGGAGCCUAUUGCACCAAUCGAGGAUGAGCGGUUGGACGUCACCUCGGGGGCUACGAUCUCGAAAGCGAUCGAGCCGAACGCUAGCCCCGCACUCUGCACGACCCGUGACUCCGAGGAUCUGGACUCCUCGCCGGACUCCGAACCCCCCGCGCCCCUGCCAAUCGAAUCCGAUUGGGCGCCGAUAAUGGAGUUCACCGCCGCAGACAUCUUUCAGCAUUCGCCUUUUGGCGACAUCUUGAAUUCUCUUAAGUCUCUCUCUUUAUCAGGAGAGCCCUGGCCGGACUACGGUCAGCGAGGGUGGGAUACGGACGAUGAGGAAAUUCAAAGCCCACCCACCACCCACUUUGUAGCCACUGUCGACGAUCUAACCGACAUGCUUGACUUCAGCUCCAAAGACAUCGACGGCAUGGACGACGAUGUAGGAGACGAAUAGGAACCAGCACUUGUAGGGCGCUGGAAGGCCACCUCGUCUUAUGACAUAUAUAUGGUGGAUACUCCAAAAGAUGGAGAUGGCGAUGGAACAGUGGGGGAUGACGCCCCCAAGAAACAGCCAAAGCGCCGGCGUCAGCGGCGCCGCUCUAAAUCCCGCCAAAGCAAAAAUGGUGAUUCCGUCACGGGAGAUAAUACUACCCCGGACAGAGCCGAAGAACACCCACCUCAGCAAGAUUCGGCACAGGAAGAUGGAGAAGCCAGCCCUCAUGAGAGAGCGGCAGACCGAGAGGUCGAGGAUGAUAACUAUACGCCUCCCUCCGAAGACGAGGCAAGCCUCGAUGACAACAAAUUCGUCAUACCAUCAGACCCCGCUGAACAAGAGCGUUUUAAACGCAGGCUUUUAGCCACGGCAAGCAGCCUCAAGAAAAAGCAGCAACAGCUUAGAGCUGCCCAAGAUUUGCUAGUUGACAGAUGGACUGAAGUCCUUGCAGUCGAAGAGUAUGAACGCGAACGCCCCUCCAAGAGUUACCCGAAGCGCAGGCCGCUACCCCGAUAAAAGGAGGAAGCACCUACAUCACCAGCGCAUGACAUGGCAGACCGGCCACCUCGCGGCUGCGACAGAGAGGCCUCUCGGCCCUCCACCCAAGCCAUGCCCUGACGCCACUCAACUAAGGCAUGGGAAAAUGCGCCCGACCUGCGAGACAUACUGGAGGAUAAGGCAAGACAAACAAGAUUGAUCUACGGAUCGUGCAGGCGCCCUACGGCAUGUGACAAUGAUCUUCACUCCGGAUACAACAAAUUCGUCCGGGCCGAACACAACAGACAUAGCUCUUCCGAGUUGCAUCGUGAUAUAGCCCAGUACAGAGGCGCCGCACACCCGCUAUGCUUCACGAAUGAAGUAAUGGAUCAUAAAAUCCCAGAGGGUUUCAAACCCGUAAACAUCGAAUCAUACGAUGGCACAACAGAUCCGACGGUAUGGAUCAAGGAUUAUCUCCUUCACAUCCACAUGGCACGCGGCAAUGAUCUACACGCCAUCAAAUACCUCCCGCUCAAACUUAAAGGACCGGCCCGGCAUUGGCUUAACAGCUUGCCAGCAGACUCAAUCGGUUCUUGGGAGGACCUGGAAGCCGCAUUCCUCGACAACUUCCAGGGCACUUACAUGCGACCGCCGGAUGCCGACGACUUAAGCCACAUAAUUCAGCAGCCAGAGGAAUCGGCCAGACAAUUCUGGACACGGUUCCUAACAAAGAAAAACCAGAUAGUCGACUGUCCGGACGCAGAGGCCCUAGCAGCCUUCAAGCAUAACAUCCACGACGAGUGGCUUUCCCAACACCUCGGACAGGAAAAGCCGAAAUCCAUGGCAGCCCUCACGACACUCAUGACCCGCUUUUGCGCGGGAGAAGACAGCUGGUUAGCUCGCAAUAACAACUUAUCAAAGAACCCUGGUAAUUCGGAUACCAAGGACAAAAGUGGCAGGACACGUCAGAAUAAGCAAAAACGCCGCGUUAACAGCGACAGCAAUGAAGACACAGCAGUCAAUGCCGGAUUCAAAGGCUAUAAAUCCGGUCAGCGGAAAAAGGCAUUCAAAAAGAAUACUCAGGGCCCGUCCAAUUUGGACCGAAUACUCGAUCGCUUGUGCCAGAUACAUGGCACCCCCAAAAGGCUAGCCAAUCACACUAACAGGGAUUGUUGGGUGUUCAAGCAGGCAGGCAAGUUAAGGGCCGAAAACAGAGACAAGGGGCUGCACAGCGAUGACGAGGAGCCCAAGCCGCCGAACAACAAUGGACAGAAGGGCUUUCCCCCACAAGUGCGGACGGUGAACAUGAUAUACGCAACCCACAUUCCCAAGCGGGAGCGGAAGCGUGUGCUACGAGACAUAUACGCGAUGGAGCCAGUCGCCCCAAAGUUCAACCCAUGGUCCUCCUGCCCGAUCACUUUUGAUCGAAGGGACCAUCCCACUAGCAUCCGUCAUGGCGGCUUCGCCGCAUUGGUUCUCGACCCAAUCAUCGACGGAUUUCAUCUCACAAGAGUCCUCAUGGAUGGUGGCAAUAGCCUGAACCUGCUUUAUCAGGAUACAGUGCGGAAAAUGGGCAUAGAUCCCUCAAGGAUUAAGCCCACAAGAAUGACCUUUAAAGGCGUUAUACCAGGUGUAGAAGCCAACUGUACAGGCUCAGUAACACUUGACGUGGUCUUCGGAUCCCCGGACAAUUUCCGAAGCGAAGAGUUAAUCUUCGAUAUAGUCCCGUUUCGCAGUGGCUAUCACGCCCUGCUCGGAUGAACCGCAUUCGCAAAGUUCAAUGCGGUGCCACACUACGCAUAUCUCAAGCUCAAGAUGCCAGGCCCUCGAGGAGUAAUUACGGUCAAUAGAAACACCGAACGCUCCCUCCGUACGAAGGAGCAUACGGCGGCUCUCGCAGCGGAGGUACAAAGUAGCCUUCUCAGGCAAUUCUCCAGUCCGGCCAUUAAAAAGCCAGACACUGCCAAGCGCGCCCGGAGUAACCCACAGCAGGACCGCCUGGCACACUCUGAGCAAGCGUAGCAAUGCAGCCCCAACCCCAGCUUUCGCGACAUAGCGAAACCAGUACCUCGCAUACAUAACUACGCCCUUGAAAUACCACGGGCACAGGGGAAGGGGCACAAUAACAGCACGCCCAAAAGACGGCUUAAAACAUACUAGGGGCUGCCGGAUUCUUUUUUUAAUUUUUUCUUACUUUCAGGACUCCAUACUUCAGACGACCUGUUCGGCAAUUCGACUGCCGCACAAAUGAUGCAAGAUCCAGGGAGGCAGACAAGCCAUGCCGCAUUAUGAAACUCCUAGGUGGUCUCUGUUACGAGCAGUAUACCUGUUUUAAAUACAAUUCCGCGGCCUGCCCCUGGUCAGGACAUGUUCAAUAGUGUAGGAUCUAGAAGUAGAUGUGUCUAGAGGGGGGUGAUUUGACACAUAAUGCUCAAGUUGCAAUUUUUUAAGCUUUUUCGGUUUAAGUGGAGUUUAGGCACAAUAUCAACACACACAAUACAUAUCAAGCAAGCAUGCAAAGAGUAUAUAGGCAGCGGAAAGUAAAGCAUGGAACUUGCAAGAAUGUAAAGGGAAGGGUUUGGAGAGAUCAAACGCAAUUGGAGACACAGAUGUUUUUCCCGUGGUUCGAAUAGGUGGUGCUAUCCUACAUCCACGUUGAUGGAGACUUCAACCCACGAAGGGUAACGGUUGCGCGAGUCCACACAGGGCUCCACCCAAGGGUAACGGUUGCACGAGUCCACACAGGGCUCCACCCACGAAGGGUCCACGAAGAAGCAACCACCCACAAAGGGUCCACGAAGAAGCAACCUUGUCUAUCCCACCAUGGCCAUCGCCCACACAGGACUUGCCUCACUAGCGGUAGAUCUUCACGAAGUAGGUGAUCUCCUUGCCCUUACAAACUCCUUGGUUCAACUCCACAAUCUUGUCGGAGGCUCCCAAGUGACACCUAGCCAAUCUAGGAGACACCACUCUCCAAGAAGUAACAAAUGGUGUGCAGGUAAUGAACUCCUUGCUCUUGUGCUUCAAAUGAUAGUCUCCCCAACACUCAACUCUCUCUCAUAGGAUUUGGAUUUGGUGGAAAGAAGAUUUAAGUGGAAAGCAACUUGGGAAAGGCUAGAGAUCAAGAUUCAUAUGGUAGGAAUGGAAUAUCUUGGUCUCAACACAUGAGUAGGUGGUUCUCUCUCAGAACAUAUGAGUUGGAAUGGUGUAUGCGUUCUGAUGGCUCUCUCUUCCAAUGAAGAGGAGGUGGAGGGGUAUAUAUAGCCUCCACACAAAAUCCAACCAUUACACACAGUUUUCCAAUCUCGGUGGGACCGAAUCAACAAACUCGGUCGGACCGAAAAUGUAAACCUAGUGACCGUUAGAGAUUUCGGUGGGACCGACUGGAUCAACUCGGUGGGACCGAUGUGCUAGAGUUAGGGUAAAUCCAAAACUCGGUUUGACCGAUUACUCAAACUCGGUGAGACCGAAUUUGGUAAUUAGCUAACCAGAGAGUUGGUCAGGCAAACUCGAUGGGACCGAUUUGCUCUUUCGGUGAUACCGAGUGGAACUCGGUGAGACCAAAAAGUUACAAAGGGGAAACACUGAGUUUACAUUGCAAUCUCGAUGGGACUGAUUCGCUCUUUCGGUGAGACCGAAAAGUUACGAAAGGGAAACAGAGAGUUUGCAAUCCCAUCUCGGUGAGACCGAGAUCCUUAUCGAUAGAACCGAAUUGCUAGGGUUUGGCAGUGGCUAAUGACAAGUGAAACUCGGUGGCGCCGGAUAGGAAGAAUCGGUAGGACCGAGUUUGACUUAGGGUUUAGGUCAUAUGUGGAAGUGGGAAAGUAGCUGAGGAUUUUGGAGCAUAUCAUUAAGCACAUGAAGCAAGAGGCUCAUUAAGCAACACCUCAUCCCUCCUUGAUAGUAUUGGCUUUUCCUAUGGACUCAAUGUGAUCUUGGAUCACUAAAAUGUAAAAUGAAGAGUCUUGAGCUUGAAGCUUUAGCCAAUCCUUUGUCCUUAGCAUCUUGAAGGAGUUCCCACAACCUUUAGUCCAUGCCACUCCAUUGUUGGACUUAUCUGAAACAUGCUAGAUAGAAAUGUUAGUCCAACAAGAGAUAUGUUGUCAUCAAUUAUCAAAACCACCUAGGGAGCACUUGUGCUUUCAAUCUCACCCUUUUUGGUAAUUAAUGGCAACAUACAUCAAAGCUUUAGAUAAAGAUAUAAAGAACAGUAAGUAAAGCUUUGGAAGGACAUGUAACGAGCAUAGGCUCCCCCUUCAUGUAUGCACUCAUGUAAAUAUGAAACAUAGAGGCAUGUGAGAGCAUAACCAUGACAGAGUAGGCAAUGUGUUACAUGCAUCUUGGCCAUAUGCAUCAGAGCAAAAGAUUAUCAAGGAAAAUACCUUCAUGCUCAUGAGUCCUUCUUGCAAACAGUAUGUACAUAAGCAAGAACUCCUCAUACUCAUGAUUUUGAUGCAUAUACUUACCUUGUGGUCUUGAGUUGGCUUAGGAUGGAAUGGACCUGCACAAACAAGGUUAUAUAACACAGGUACGCCCACUAGCCAGAGCAAACAAAAGAAACCACAAGAAUACCAAGACUGGGAUGACAUGUAGAGAGUGAGUACAAGGUACCACAUUGAAUUCAACAUGUCCCCAAGAAUAAAGAUAUGCAAUGAAUUUGACAGAUUUCUUUUCCUUAGGUGUCUUGCUCCCCUGAAUCGUACAUGGGAUAUUGGGAGAAGAUAGGAAACAGAAAAUCAGAGCUGAAAGAUAUGAAUAGAACUUAAUUCAAAUGAGUUCAUAUGAACAUGUCUUUCCCCCAAAAAGACAUGUGGCAUCUCUCCUCUUGAACAUCAAGCAUCUGGGAUCCUUGAGUAUUCUCUCCCCCUUAGUACUUUCUCCUUUGUAGGUGAUAAGCUUUUGAUGUGAUAAGCUUUGAUGUGAUCUCUCUCUCCCCCUUUGACAUCAAUUUCCAAGAAGGUUUUUCCUGGAAUCCGUCGAAUAGGUUUGGUCCUUGAGAUUCAGUACAAAGCAGGGAAUAAAACUGUGAUGCUUGUAGAGGACAAGAUUCAUUGAGUGGAGCCGGAUCAGAAGAAAUAUAGAAUAUGUGGCAAACUGUUUUUCCUGUUGCAAAAUCGGUGGCACCGAGUGGCAUGUUUCGGUAGUACCGAAGGGAUUCGGUUGGACCGAAAAUGGCAACUCGGUGAAGCCGAGUUCAUCACAGAGAAAAACACUUGUCACCUCAGCUCACUAGUCAAGUAAGAUCUCACAAAGAUUUGCAAUGAAUUUGAUGCAGAAAUAUGCAGAACAAGAACCAAAAAAAGAAAAGAGAGAAAGUUUCUAGAUGAAGUUUUUGUUUUUGUUUUGUUUGAAAAAGAAGGAAACAAAUAUGCAAGGGACAAAUGCAAUAACUCAGAAAAGAACACAAGAGAACUUCAUCUAGAAUUGGGCGGUGACAUAGUCACCUAUGUUAGAGUAUAUUGACUUAGGAGUCAAGUGAGAACACUUGAUCAUAGGUCAAACUCAUCGUUUAAGCUCAAAAUGGGGUUACCAUUUUUCGUUUAAGCAUCUUGAUGUAUUCACACCUUGUUGAGUUGCUUUGACUCAUGUCUUGGAGUAAAGCUUCUCUAAGAUGGAAUAACAUACCUUGGGUGGUGGUGUGGUUCUUGCUCAUGUAGUUGAACUUGUGUGGGUGCUCAAGGUUGAUGUAGUUCAUCAAGAGUUGGGAGCACCACUUGGAGUUUGAGUUCAUCUACCUACAUGGGUUAGUUCUUGCAAGGAAGAGCACUUGCGUAUCCAAAAAUGACAAUCAUGAAGCUUAACAUAGAAUUUGUCAAAGGAUAUGUUUGAGUGGUUUUGUGCUUCCCUGUCUUCAACCACUAUUGUGUAGAGUCUUGGUGAUGUAGAGAUUGCUCAAGGUAUGAGUGAGUCGCAAUCUCAUGGAAUUAGAUUCAACCAAGAACCUACAUGGGUUAGACAACAUGCAAGGUGCAAAUAUAUCCAAGACAUAAGAUAGUUAUCAUAAAAGAUAUAUCAUGGAUUAGUCAUAAGCUAAUGUCUUGCAUGUAUCCAAUGGAGUUUCUACUCCAAGUUCGAAGCAUCAAUGAUGUUCAAUUCUCCUCUCAACCUGCAAAACACUUUCUCAUCAAGUGGUUUAGUAAAUAUAUCCGUUAAUUGCUUGUCGGUGCGAACAUUCUUAAGAUUGAUGUCACCUUUAGCAACAUGAUCUCGAAUGAAAUGAUGAUGAACUUCAAUAUGCUUAGUUCGAGAAUGUUGUACAGGAUUAUGACCAAUUUUGAUAGCACUUUCAUUGUCACAAAGCAGUGGAACAUGUUUCACAUAAAUCCCAUAAUCUUUAAGAGUUUGGGUCAUCCAAAGUAAUUGAGCGCAACAUGAACCAGCGGCAAUGUAUUCCGCUUCGGCGGUGGAUAAGGAUACCGAGUUUUGUUUCUUGGAAGACCAAGACACAAGAGAUCUGCCAAGAAAUUGACAAGUACCCGAAGUGGACUUUCUGUCAACCUUGUCUCUGGCAUAAUCCGAGUCAGAAUAGCCAACAAGAUCAAAAGAAGACCUCUUAGGAUACCAAAUGCCAAAGUUUGGUGUAUGGAUUAAAUAUCUCACUAUCCUUUUCACAGCCUUAAGAUGACAAUCUUUAGGAGCAGCUUGAUAUCGUGCACACAUGCACACACUUAGCAUAAUAUCGGGACAUGAAGCACAUAGGUAUAACAAUGAACCAAUCAUAGAGUGAUAAACCUUUUGAUCAACAAGUUCACCAUCUUUGGACAAAUCAUUAUGUCCACUAGUAGGCAUGGGUGUAGACAUACCUUUGCAUUCUUGCAUAUUGAACUUCUUGAAUAAGUCCUUGGUGUACUUUGUUUGAGAGACAAAUGUACCUUCCUUAGUUUGCUUGAUUUGCAACCCGAGAAAGAAUUUGAGUUCACUCAUCAUAGACAUCUCAAACUUCUCUGACAUUAGCUUUCCAAACUUUUCACUAAAGAGAGGGUUAGUUGAACCAAAUAUGAUAUCAUCAACAUAAAUUUGGCAUACAAAUAGUUCUCCAUUAACCCUUUUAGUAAAAAGAGUAGAAUCAAUUUUACCAAUUUCAAAACCACUUGUAGUAAGGAACUUGGUCAAGCAUUUAUACCAUGCUCUAGGAGCUUGUUUAAGACCAUAAAGAGCUUUGUGAAGUUUGUAAACAUGAUUUGGUUUCUUAGGAUUGACAAAGCCGGGAGGUUGUUUGACAUAAACUUCCUCCUCUAUUUCUCCAUUUAGAAAAGCACUUUUAAUGUCCAUUUGGUACAAGGUGAUAUUAUGGUGAUUAGCAUAGGCAAGUAAGAUGCGAAUGGACUCACGUCUAGCAACGGGAGCAUACGUCUCACCAUAGUCCAUACCUUCGACUUGUGUGUACCCUUGGGCGACGAGACGUGCUUUGUUGCGAACCACUUGUCCAUCUUCAUCUUGCUUGUUGCGAAACACCCAUUUGGUACCAAUGAUGUUGUGGUUGUUGUCAGGCUUCUCAACCAAUGUCCAAACUUGGUUUCUCUCAAAAUUAUGUAUCUCUUCAUGCAUAGCGUUUAUCCAAUCCGGAUCUUCCAAUGCUUCUUCAACCUUCAUUGGUUGAAUGCUAGAGAUGAAUGAAUAGUUUUCACAAAAGUUAGCCAAACGAGUUUUUGAGCGAGUGAUUCUCCCGGUUUGUAUAUCAUUGAGGAUUUGCUCGACGGGAUGAUCUUUGGCAAUUCUUGCUCGAACUCGUGAGAGCUUUUGCUUGGGUCUUCGUUGAACAUCUUCUUCAUCUUGGCCUUCUUCAUUGUUGAUGUCGUCGUUCUCUUGUCGUGGUGGAGAAGGAGGUUGUUGAUGUUCAUCUUGACGUACUUCCUCGUUUUCUUCAUCUUGGUGUGUCCCACUUGUGGAUGCUUCCGUGUCGAUUCUUGGUUCACCUUGUCGUGAAGUAGAAGCUUCCACUUGGACGGAUGAAGUACUCUCCUUCACCUCCGUUGGACGAAUUUUGCCGAUGGACAAGUCUUGAAUUACUUCUGAAGAGUCUUUGUCUCCUACAUCAAUUGGCAAUUGCUCUACUUGUGAGCCAUUAGAUUCAUCAAACUUCACAUCUACCGUCUCUUCAACCUUUCGGGUGAAAUUGUUGUAGACACGGUAAGUGUGAGAGUUUGAGCCAUAACCAAGUAGAAAACCUUCAUGAGUUUUAGGAGCAAACUUUGAACGACGAUGCUUAUCAAGAAUGUAGCACUUUGAGCCGAAUACUCGAAAGUAUCCAACUUGGGGUUUGUUACCGGUGAGAAGCUCGUAUGCCGUCUUGCCGAGUAGCUUGUGAAGAUAUAAGCGAUUUGUUGCGUGACAAGCUAUCUCAACCGCUUCUGCCCAAAAGUGCUUUGGCGUCUUGUAUUCAUCAAGCAUCGUUCUUGCCAUUUCGAUGAGCGUCCGGUUCUUCCUCUCAACAACUCCAUUUUGUUGAGGUGUGUACAUAGCCGAGAACUCGUGUGAAAUCCCUUCUUCGUCAAGAAAGGUGUCCACAUUUGCAUUCUUGAACUCCGUUCCGUUGUCACUCCGAACCUUCUUGAUCUUCACAUCAAACUGAUUUUGGGCCUUCCUAGCGAAGUUUCUGAAGAUCUUCUGGACCUGCGACUUGUCAUUAAGAAAGAACACCCACGUAAAUCUUGAAAAGUCAUCAACUAUAACUAGACCAAAAGAAUUUCCACCGAGACUCUUGUAGGCGUUGGGACCAAAAAGAUCCAUGUGAAGUAGCUCGAGUGGCCUCCUUGUGGUCAUGAUGUUCUUCACAGGAUGUCUUCCUCCAACCUGUUUACCUGCUUGACAAGCACUGCAAAGUCUAUCCUUAUCAAAUAUGACAUUGUUAACUCCAAGGAUAUGAUUUCCUUUAAUAAGCUUGUCAAGGUUUCUCAUGCCAAUGUGACCUAGUCGUCUAUGCCACAACCAACCUUUUGAGGAUUUAGCAACAAAGCAAGUUUUAGGUUGUGCCUUUUUAAAGAAAUCGACAAUGUAAAGAUCACCUCUACGCAUACCCGUAAAGACCAUUUUAUGAUUGUCUCGAUGAAAUACUUGGCAAUCUACCUCAGUAAAUAGGACAUUCAAACCGAAAUCAGCAAGUCUAGAUACUGAAAGUAAGUUGUAGCCAAGAGAUUCAACGAGCAUGACAUUUUGAAUGGAACUAUAAUGUGAGAUGGCCACCUUACCAAGGCCAACCACUUUACCCUUUGAAUUAUCACCAAAGGUGACAUAUUUUCGAGGGACGUUGUUUUCAGCAAGCUCACGAAACAUCUCUUCAUCUCCGGUCAUAUGAUCAGUACAUCCACUAUCAAGAACCCAUUCCUUUCCUCCUGAUUCAUAUCCCCGAAGAUUUGCCAUAAGACCAAAAUGUCUCAUUGCAUCAUCAAGAUCGAAGUCACUAUCAUCAUCAUCAUAAUAUUCAUGUUCAUCAUGAUCUUGUGACUCAUCAUUUCCUAGAGAGGGUAAUUCAUUAGAUAAAUGAUCAAAGUGGUUACUUUUAUGAAUUCUUAUAGCUUUGAAUAUGAUAUCAUUAAUGAUUCCAACAUCUCCUUUAGCAUGCUUAAGAUUGGCAAGUUCAAAAAGACAUUUACCAAAACUAGGAUCACUAGAGUUCAUCUUACUCAAGGCAAUAGAUUUAUGGAGAAUUUCAUCCAAAGUUUUCAAGGAAUAAUCGGGAAAUCGUUCCUCAAGAAAUUUCCAUAUGGUAUAGGCACAAUUGUGAGUAGGCAAACUAGCAAUCAAAUUUUUGGGCAAUCCUCUGAUGAUGAGCUCAAUAGUUCUAAGAUUGUGAAUCAUGUCAAUAUCUUCAUCUAGGGUAGGAUGCAAAGGAUCAAUAUGAGGUGCACAAGGGCUAGCAAUAUACUUGUUCAAAUGAUAUUGAUUGAAGAUUACAAGCAUCUCAUUUUUCCACUCAUGGAAAUACUCUCCAUCAAGAAUAGGCACUCUAUGUCUAAGACUCCCUAAUGUAGACACAUCCAUCUUCCUCCAAUGGUGAUUAAACCAAGGCAAUGGAGACCAAAGCUCUGAUACCACUUGUAGGAUCUAGAAGUAGAUGUGUCUAGAGGGGGGUGAUUUGACACAUAAUGCUCAAGUUGCAAUUUUUUAAGCUUUUUCGGUUUAAGUGGAGUUUAGGCACAAUUUCAACACACACAAUACAUAUCAAGCAAGCAUGCAAAGAGUAUAUAUGCAGCGGAAAGUAAAGCAUGCAACUUGCAAGAAUGUAAAGGGAAUGGUUUGGAGAGAUCAAACGCAAUUGGAGACACGGAUGUUUUUCCCGUGGUUCGGAUAGGUGGUGCUAUCCUACAUCCACGUUGAUGGAGACUUCAACCCACGAAGGGUAACGGUUGCGCGAGUCCACACAGGGCUCCACCCAAGGGUAACGGUUGCGCGAGUCCACACAAGGCUCCACCCACGAAGGGUCCACGAAGAAGCAACCACCCACAAAGGGUCCACGAAGAAGCAACCUUGUCUAUCCCACCAUGGCCAUCGCCCACACAGGACUUGCCUCACUAGCGGUAGAUCUUCACGAAGUAGGCAAUCUCCUUGCCCUUACAAACUCCUUGGUUCAACUCCACAAUCUUGUCGGAGGCUCCCAAGUGACACCUAGCCAAUCUAGGAGACACCACUCUCCAAGAAGUAACAAAUGGUGUGUAGGUAAUGAACUCCUUGCUCUUGUGCUUCAAAUGAUAGUCUCCCCAACACUCAACUCUCUCUCAUAGGAUUUGGAUUUGGUGGAAAGAAGAUUUAAGUGGAAAGCAACUUGGGAAAGGCUAGAGAUCAAGAUUCAUAUGGUAGGAAUGGAAUAUCUUGGUCUCAACACAUGAGUAGGUGGUUCUCUCUCAGAACAUAUGAGUUGGAAUGGUGUAUGCGUUCUGAUGGCUCUCUCUUCCAAUGAAGAGGAGGUGGAGGGGUAUAUAUAGCCUCCACACAAAAUCCAACCGUUACACACAGUUUUCCAAUCUCGGUGGGACCGAAUCAACAAACUCGGUCGGACCGAAAAUGUAAACCUAGUGACCGUUAGAGAUUUUGGUGGUACCGACUGGAUCAACUCGGUGGGACCGAUGUGCUAGGGUUAGGGUAAAUCCAAAACUCAGUUUGACCGAUUACUCAAACUCGGUGAGACCGAAUUUGGUAAUUAGCUAACCAGAGAGUUGGUCAGGCAAACUCGAUGGGACCGAUUUGCUCUUUCGGUGAGACCGAGUGGAACUCGGUGAGACCAAAAAGUUACAAAGGGGAAACACUGAGUUUACAUUGCAAUCUCGGUGGGACCGAUUCGCUCUUUCGGUGAGACCGAAAAGUUACGAAAGGGAAAUAGAGAGUUUGCAAUCCCAUCUCGGUGAGACCGAGAUCCUUAUCGAUAGAACCGAAUUGCUAGGGUUUGGCAGUGGCUAAUGACAAGUGAAACUCGGUGGCGCGAGAUAGGAAGAAUCGGUAGGACCGAGUUUGACUUAGGGUUUAGGUCAUAUGUGGAAGUGGGAAAGUAGCUGAGGAUUUUGGAGCAUAUCAUUAAGCACAUGAAGCAAGAGGCUCAUUAAGCAACACCUCAUCCCUCCUUGAUAGUAUUGGCUUUUCCUAUGGACUCAAUGUGAUCUUGGAUCACUAAAAUGUAAAAUGAAGAGUCUUGAGCAUGAAGCUUUAGCCAAUCCUUUGUCCUUAGCAUCUUGAAGGACUUCCCACAACCUUUAGUCCAUGCCACUCCAUUGUUUUACUUAUCUGAAACAUGCUAGAUAGAAAUGUUAGUCCAACAAGAGAUAUGUUGUCAUCAAUUAUCAAAACCACCUAGGGAGCACUUGUGCUUUCAAUCUCCCCCUUUUUGGUAAUUAAUGGCAACAUACAUCAAAGCUAGCCCCGCACUCUGCACGACCUGUGACUCCGAGGAUCUGGACUCCUCCCCGAACUCCGAACCCCCCGCGCCCCUGCCAAUCGAAUCCGAUUGGGCGCCGAUAAUGGAGUUCACCGCCGCAGACAUCUUUCAGCAUUCGCCUUUUGGCGACAUCUUGAAUUCUCUUAAGUCUCUCUCUUUAUCAGGAGAGCCCUGGCCGGACUACGGUCAGCGAGGGUGGGAUACGGACGAUGAGGAAAUUCAAAGCCCACCCACCACCCACUUUGUAGCCACUGUCGACGAUCUAACCGACAUGCUUGACUUCAGCUCCAAAGACAUCGACGGCAUGGACGACGAUGUAGGAGACGAAUAGGAACCAGCACCUGUAGGGCGCUGGAAGGCCACCUCGUCAUAUGACAUAUAUAUGGUGGAUACUCCAAAAGAUGGAGAUGGCGAUGGAACAGUGGGGGAUGACGCCCCCAAGAAACAGCCAAAGCGCUGCCGUCAGCGGCGCCGCUCUAAAUCCCGCCAAAGCAAAAAUGGUGAUUCCGGCACGGGAGAUAAUACUACCCCGGACAGAGCCGAAGAACACCCACCUCAGCAAGAUUCGGCACAGGAAGAUGGAGAAGCCAGCCCUCAUGAGAGAGCGGUAGACCGAGAGGCCGAAGAUGAUAACUAUACGCCUCCCUCCGAAGACGAGGCAAGCCUCGAUGACGACAAAUUUGUCAUACCAUCAGACCCCGCCGAACAAGAGCGUUUUAAACGCAGGCUUUUAGCCACGGCAAGCAGCCUCAAGAGAAAGCAGCAACAACUUAGAGUUGCCCAAGAUUUGCUAGUUGACAGAUGGAUUGAAGUCCUUGCAGUCGAAGAGUAUGAACUCGAACGCCCCUCCAAGAGUUACCCAAAGCGCAGGCCGCUACCCCGAUCAAAGGAGGAAGCACCUACAUCACCAGCGCAUGACAUGGCAGACCGGCCACCUCGUGGCUGCGAUAGAGAGGCCUCUCGGCCCUCCACCCAAGCCAUGCCCCGACGCCACUCAACUAAGGCACGGGAAAAUGCGCCCGACCUGCGAGACAUACUGGAGGAUAAGGCAAGACAAACAAGAUCGAUCUACGGAUCGCGCAGGCGCCCUACGGCAUGUGACAGUGAUCUUCACUCCGGAUACAACAAAUCUGGCCGGGCCGAACACAACAGACAUAGCUCUUCCGAGUUGCGUCGUGAUAUAGCCCAGUACAGAGGCGCCGCACACCCGCUAUGCUUCACGAAUGAAGUAAUGGAUCAUAAAAUCCAAGAGGGUUUCAAACCCGUAAACAUCGAAUCAUACGAUGGCACAACAGAUCCGACGGUAUGGAUCGAGGAUUAUCUCCUUCACAUCCACAUGGCACGUGGCGAUGAUCUACACGCCAUCAAAUACCUCCCGCUCAAACUUAAAGGACCGGCCCGGCAUUGGCUUAACAGCUUGCCAACAGACUCAAUCGGUUCUUGGGAGGACCUGGAAGCCGCAUUCCUCGACAACUUCCAGGGCACUUACGUGCGACCGCCGGAUGCCGACGACUUAAGCCACAUAAUUCAGCAACCAGAGGAAUCGGCCAGACAAUUCUGGACACGGUUCCUAACAAAGAAAAACCAGAUAGUCGACUAUCCGGACGCAGAGGCCCUAGCAGCCUUCAAGCAUAACAUCCGCGAUGAGUGGCUUGCCCGGCACCUGGGACAGGAAAAGCCGAAAUCCAUGGCAGCCCUCACGACACUCAUGACCCGCUUUUGCGCGGGAGAAGACAGCUGGUUAGCUCGCAGUAACAACUUAUCAAAGAACCCUGGUAAUUCGGAUACCAAGGACAAAAUUGGCAGGACACGUCGGAAUAAGCAAAAACGCCGUGUUAACAGCGACAGCAAUGAAGACACAACAGUCAAUGCCGGAUUCAAAGGCUAUAAAUCCGGUCAGCGGAAAAAGCCAUUCAAAAAGAAUACUCAGGGCCCGUCCAGUUUGGACCGAAUACUCGAUUGCUUGUGCCAGAUACAUGGCACCCCCGAAAGGCCAGCCAAUCACACUAACAGGGAUUGUUGGGUGUUCAAGCAGGCAGGCAAGUUAAGGGCCGAAAACAGAGACAAGGGGCUGCACAGCGAUGACGAGGAGCCCAAGCCGCCGAACAACAAUGGACAGAAGGGCUUUCCCCCACAAGUGCGGAUGGUGAACAUGAUAUACGCAACCCACAUUCCCAAGCGGGAGCGGAAGCGUGUGCUACGGGACAUAUACGCGAUGGAGCCAGUCGCCCCAAAGUUCAACCCAUGGUCCUCCUGCCCGAUCACUUUUGAUCGAAGGGACCAUCCCACUAGCAUCCGUCAUGGCGGCUUCGCCGCAUUGGUUCUCGACCCAAUCAUCGACGGAUUUCAUCUCACAAGAGUCCUCAUGGACGGCGGCAAUAGCCUAAACCUGCUUUAUGAGGAUACAGUGCGGAAAAUGGGCAUAGAUCCCUCAAGGAUUAAGCCCACAAGAAUGACCUUUAAAGGCGUUAUACCAGGUGUAGAAGCCAACUGUACAGGCUCAGUAACACUUGACGUGGUCUUCGGAUCCCCGGACAAUUUCCGAAGCGAAGAGUUAAUCUUCGAUAUAGUCCCAUUUCGCAGUGGCUAUCACGCCCUGCUCGGACGAACCGCAUUUGCAAAGUUCAAUGCGGUGCCGCACUACGCAUAUCUCAAGCUCAAGAUGCCAGGCCCUCGAGGAGUAAUUACGGUCAACGGAAACACCGAACGCUCCCUCCGUACGAAGGAGCAUACGGCGGCUCUCGUAGCGGAGGUACAAAGUAGCCUUCUCAGGCAAUUCUCCAGUCCGGCCAUUAAAAAUCCAUACACUGCCAAGCGCGCCCGGAGUAACCCACAGCAGGACCGCCUGGCACACUCUGAGCAAGCGUAGCAAUGCAGCCCCAACCCCAGCUUUUGCGACAUAGCAAAACCAGUACCUCGCGUACAUAACUACGCCCUUGAAAUACCACGGGCACAGGGGAAGGGGCACAAUAACGGCACGCCCAAAAGACGGCUUAAAACGUACUAGAGGCUGUCGGAUUCUUUUUUUAAUUUUUUCUUACUUUCAGGACUCCAUACUUUGGACGACCUGUUCGGCAAUUCGACUGCCGCACAAAUGAUGCAAGAUCCAGGGAGGCAGACAAGCCAUGCCGCAUUAUGGAACUCCCAGGUGGUCUCUGUUACGAGCAGUAUACCUGUUUUAAAUACAAUUCCGCGGCCUGCCCCUGGUCAGGACAUGUUCAAUAGUGUAGGAUCUAGAAGUAGAUGUGUCUAGAGGGGGUGAUUUGACACAUAAUGCUCAAGUUGCAAUUUUUUAAGCUUUUUCGGUUUAAGUGGAGUUUAGGCACAAUUUCAACACACACAAUACAUAUCAAGCAAGCAUGCAAAGAGUAUAUAGGCAGCGGAAAGUAAAGCAUGCAACUUGCAAGAAUGUAAAGGGAAGGGUUUGGAGAGAUCAAACGCAAUUGGAGACACGGAUGUUUUUCCCGUGGUUCGGAUAGGUGGUGCUAUCCUACAUCCACGUUGAUGGAGACUUCAACCCACGAAGGGUAACGGUUGUGCGAGUCCACACAGGGCUCCAACCAAGGGUAACGGUUGCGCGAGUCCACACAGGGCUCCACCCACGAAGGGUCCACGAAGAAGCAACCACCCACAAAGGGUCCACGAAGAAGCAACCUUGUCUAUCCCACCAUGGCCAUCGCCCACACAGGACUUGCCUCACUAGCGGUAGAUCUUCACGAAGUAGGCGAUCUCCUUGCCCUUACAAACUCCUUGGUUCAACUCCACAAUCUUGUCGGAGGCUCCCAAGUGACACCUAGCCAAUCUAGGAGACACCACUCUCCAAGAAGUAACAAAUGGUGUGUAGGUAAUGAACUCCUUGCUCUUGUGCUUCAAAUGAUAGUCUCCCCAAUACUCAACUCUCUCAUAGGAUUUGGAUUUGGUGGAAAGAAGUUUUAAGUGGAAAGCAACUUGGGAAAGGCUAGAGAUCAAGAUUCAUAUGGUAGGAAUGGAAUAUCUUGGUCUCAACACAUGAGUAGGUGGUUCUCUCUCAGAACAUAUGAGUUGGAAUGGUGUAUGCGUUCUGAUGGCUCUCUCUUCCAAUGAAGAGGAGGUGGAGGGGUAUAUAUAGCCUCCACACAAAAUCCAACCGUUACACACAGUUUUCCAAUCUCGGUGGGACCGAAUCAACAAACUCGGUCGGACCGAAAAUGUAAACCUAGUGACCGUUAGAGAUUUCGGUGGGACCGACUGGAUCAACUCGGUGGGACCGAUGUGCUAGGGUUAGGGUAAAUCCAAAACUCGGUUUGACUGAUUACUCAAACUCGGUGAGACCGAAUUUGGUAAUUAGCUAACCAGAGAGUUGGUCAGGCAAACUCGAUGGGACCGAUUUGCUCUUUCGGUGAGACCGAGUGGAACUCGGUGAGACCAAAAAGUUACAAAGGGGAAACACUGAGUUUACAUUGCAAUCUCGGUGGGACCGAUUCGCUCUUUCGGUGAGACCGAAAAGUUACGAAAGGGAAACAGAGAGUUUGCAAUCCCAUCUCGGUGAGACCGAGAUCCUUAUCGAUAGAACCGAAUUGCUAGGGUUUGGCAGUGGCUAAUGACAAGUGAAACUCGGUGGCGCCGGAUAGGAAGAAUCGGUAGGACCGAGUUUGACUUAGGGUUUAGGUCAUAUGUGGAAGUGGGAAAGUAGCUGAGGAUUUUGGAGCAUAUCAUUAAGCACAUGAAGCAAGAGGCUCAUUAAGCAACACCUCAUCCCUCCUUGAUAGUAUUGGCUUUUCCUAUGGACUCAAUGUGAUCUUGGAUCACUAAAAUGUAAAAUGAAGAGUCUUGAGCUUGAAGCUUUAGCCAAUCCUUUGUCCUUAGCAUCUUGAAGGAGUUCCCACAACCUUUAGUACAUGCCACUCCAUUGUUGGACUUAUCUGAAACAUGCUAGAUAGAAAUGUUAGUCCAACAAGAGAUAUGUUGUCAUCAAUUAUCAAAACCACCUAGGGAGCACUUGUGCUUUCAAAUAGUCCAAUAUCUUUUUGCUUAUCGCACUAUUUGUAUCGUUCGGCUUUGAUAAAUAGCCUCUCUAUAAACAAUGCAUAGCUUUUUGUCUAUUUUUUGCAUUAUCCUCUUUUCACAUAUAUGUUUAUUAAAUGACAUGAUUGCACCCGUACACCAUGGUACGGAAAACACGCCAGGGGCUUCAGUACCCCUCAUUAUGGUGUGAGAAGUCCGUACACUUUCACAAGUGCGGCACCCCGAACUUAUAGCACUUUAUGCAUCGGCUCCGAAUCAUGAUUUGGGUCAAUAGUUGGGUUUGCCCGGCUCCUAUGUUUUGGUGCCUUACGUUAUGCUAUAUCGGCUAAGGUAGCACUAGGAGAACCACUGCGAUUGUGCCCCGGUUCAGCUGGGUUAAGCACCUCAGUGGAGAAAGUUAAAGCUGACUGUCAUGAUGAGGCGAGAGACCGGUCGCUGUUCGAGAGGUUUUUCAAGUCCCUAAAUACUUAUGCCGCUUCGAGCGAGGAGCUGGCUUGCCCGGCCAAGGUGUGGAUAGCGCCCCGAACUCGGUCUUCCGAACUAGGGGCUUCGCCAAAAUUUAAAAUUAUAGAGUUCUAUGGCUAAGUGAGAGUGUUCAAGCAUUAUAGUCCGAUUGCCUGGUUCGUUGUGCUGAGCGCCUCCCUCGAAGGACCCAACUAUGGGAAAAAGAGCACUCAGGUUUAUCCCGAACACCCCAGCACUAGUGGCAUGGGGGCAGAAGCCGACGACUGGCCAUCUCUCAAUUUUUUGAUAAACGGCCGCACAGAAAGUAAUAUUUUAAAUUCAAUAAGCAUUGCUUAGCGCAUAUGAACAAGUUUUCAGUGCACAGGAUAAACACGAGCGAGUUCAUUCAAAAAUCACAUCCUUGGUACAUUCAUCCGCCACAAGGCGGGCACCUGCAAGAACAUCCUUGUAGUAGUUCUCGGGCUUGCGAUGCUCCUUCCCCGGCGGCGCCCCGUCCUUCACAAGCUUCUCACCAUCCAGCUUACCCCAGUGCACCUUUGCACGGGCAAGGGCCCGAUGGGCACCUUCGAUGCAGACGGAGUACUUGAUGACCUCGAGCCUCGGACAGGCCUCCACCAGCCGCCACACCAGCCCAAAAUAGCUCCCAGGCAGGGCCUCUCUGGGCCACAGCCGAACUAUGAGGCCCUUCAUGGCCUGUUCGGCCGCCUUGUGGAGCUCGACCAGCUGUUUCAGCUGGUCGCUCAAAGGCAUAGGGUGUCCGGCCUCAGAAUACUGAGACCAGAACACCUUCUCCGUCGAGCUGCCCUCUUCAACUCGGUAGAAUGCGGCGGCGGCGGAUACGCUGCGGGAAGAUCUACGAAUGCCCCUGGAGAGCUCCGGAUUCGGGUAAGUAACAAGUAGUUUACUUUUAUAUUUCUGCUUUGCAUAAAGAAUACCUUACCCGCUGCUAUCUUACUCAUCUCCUCCAACUCUUGGAGGGCCUUUUGGGCUUUGGCCUUGGCAGACUUGGCAGUCUCAAGGGCCGUCGCGAGCUCGGAUGCUUGCGCCUUUGACUCAAGCUCCAAACUCUCAUGUUUUUUCAUAAGAGCCUGAAGCUCUUGUUGCACCUCGCCGACCUGAACCCCAAGUCGGUCUCGCUCGGUGCACUCCGUGGUCAUUUUCUUUUCGGCCUCAGACAGCGCCUGCUUAAGGGUCGCCACCUCAGUCGUGGCCCCUACAAUAAGCAGUACAAUCCUAUUAUUUUUUAUUUUUGCAAUCACGCCUUUUUAUAGGCACUUUCUCUGUAAGGUAUUUCUUACCUUCUUUCUCCUCGAGCUGCCGCUUGGCAAGGCCAAGCUCUUGCUCGGUCCGCUCGAGGUCCUGCUUCAGGACACCCACCUCCGCAGUCAGUGCGGCGGUGGAUAGCAGCGAAGCCUGCAUACGCAUAUUGACUCUUUUUGUUAGACUCCUGCGAAAUUUAAUAGAUCCUCUAUUCGGCUUUUCUUUCCGAAUGCCAAACAGAGCAUCAGGGGCUACUGUCUAUGCGGUAAUAUUUUUACAUAUUUUUACUUACCUUGAAGCCUGUUAGAAGGCUAGCGCAAGCUUCACGAGCGGACUGAACCUUCUGGAUCACCGUACUCAUAAUAGUACAGUGCCCCUCGUCGAUGGAGGCGCCGUCAAGAACCUCUAGCAGAUUGUCCGGCACCUCCGAUUGGACGGAGGCCGCCGGCUCAGAAGGCUUGCUCCUCUUGGAAGGAGUUCGCCUACCGCGGUCCGGAACUGUGGAAGAUUCUGGCGCGGUGUCCGGCACAAAGCCGGACUUGGAGCCCUGGGGGGCCUUAUCCCCUUCACUCCUGGAGUCUGGGAGGUUGCCUUGCGGCUCCUCCGGGACCACCUCCUCCUGCCCCGGAGCUUGUCGCGACGCCACUUCGGCGUCGUCUGCAGUGCGGGGGGAGACAGCGGGCGGAACUGAGUUCACGUCUGAUGAGUCCAGGGAGCCGCCCGACGAUUCGUUGAAUUCGGCCUGGGGCGGGCUGCAUAAUUAUGUUCGACAUUAGGGAAAGCUAUGCAACAAAGGAACAUCAUGAGUUACUCUGAUGUCCGAACUUACGAUUUCGCCGGACGCUUGGCCCUGUUUGGCCACUCCUCUUCGCCCUCUUCGGCGUCGGGGGAGUAGUCCGGCGGAGGGGUCUUCCUUUUCCUAGACCCCUCGGCCUCCCCCGUUGGGGCGGCCUUCCUCUUCUCUCCUCCCUCCGCUGGGGGGGAGAGUUUUCUUCUUCCUCCUCCUCGUUUUCACGGGAAGAGGGCGUCUCGGACUCGUCGGAUGACGAGUCCGACACCACCACGUUACAGGCACUCUUUCGAGUCCCCGUGGUCUUCUUCUUCUUGGCCGUCUUCUCCAGCACCACAUAAGGCGCCGGAACCAGCAGCUUCACUAGUAGAGCUGGGGCUGGGUCUUCGGGCAGCGGAGUCGGACAGUUAAUCGGUCCGGAUGUCGCCCGCCAAGCCUGUCAAAGGUAAGGGAGUUUAGAUCCCGCAUAGAGUCAAACUAUGAAGAAAGCUUAACAUCCUGUAAAAGGUGAAGAUAGCUUACCUCACUAGCGUGACGCUGCGAGCUGUAUCCGCGGUCCUCGGAAGCAGAUACGGGAGCCUCGGCGCCCUUGAAUAGCACCUUCCAGGCAUCUUCGUACGUCGUGUCAAAGAGCCUGCUAAGGGUUUGGUGCUGCACCGGGUCGAACUCCCAUAGAUUAAAAUCCCGUUGUUCGCACGGGAGGAUCCGGCGGACGAGCAUAACCUGGAUUACAUUAACAAGCCAGAUUGGCUUGUUCACCAGGGACUGGAUGCAUGUUUGCAAUCCGGUCACCUCUUUUUCUUCACCCCACGACAGGCCCGUCUCUUUCCAGGACAUAAGCCGCGUGGGGGGUCCAGAUCGGAACUCGUGGGCUGCGGUCCAUUUUGGAUCGCGUGGCUCGGUGAUGUAAAACCACCCGGAUUGCCACCCCUUUAGGGUCUCCACAAAAGAGCCCUCGAACCAUAGGAUGUUGGCCAUCUUGCCCGCCAUGGCGCCUCCGCACUCCGCCUGGCUGCCGUGCGCCACCUUGGGCUUGACGUUGAAGGUCUUGAGCCAGAGGCCGAAAUGAGGGCGGACGCGGAGGAAAGCCUCGCACACGACGAUAAACGCCGAGAUGUUGAGGAUGAAGUUCGGGGCCAGAUCAUGGAAAUCUAGGCCGUAAUAAAACAUGAGCCCCCGGACAAAUGGGUGGAGUGGAAAACCCAGUCCGCGAAGGAAGUGGGGGAGAAAUACUACCCUCUCAUGGGGCCUUGGGGUGGGGAGAAGCUGUCCCUUUUCAGGAAGCCGGUGCGCGAUGUCCUUGUACAGGUAUCCGGCCUUCCUUAGCUUCUUGACUUGGCCCUCCAUGGCGGAGGAGACCAUCCACUUGCCUCCCGCUCCGGACAUUGCUGGAGAAGGUUGCGGUGGGAAGUGCGGGCUUGGGCGCUGGAGCUCGAGUGCGCAGGAGAUGGAUAGGCAAAAGAGGAAGAAGGCGUAGGUAAAAGGGUGGAUCCUUAUCCCCUUAUAUGGGUGGAUGCGGUUGUGCAUCCCCACCAGCCUAGUAAAACUCGCUUGCCUCCCAAGCGCCGUGAUAAAUGGCGCGGUUGGGUUACCCACGUCCGUAUUGAUGAGAAUCCCGUAAAAGGGGGGUACAUGAUCUCUGCUUUGACAAGACGUGCCAAGGAAACCGCCUCGCAAAACACGCUGAGGUGGAAAAGUGAAAACAAUUCGGGUGAAGGACUUGGCUGUAGUGUGAUGACGCACUGCAGAAUACGUCAGUAGAUUUGAUUUGUGUUAAUAUUAUUCUCUCUAUGGCAAUAUGUGGAAGCUUAUUUUGCAGAGCCGGACACUACUCUUGGUGUUUACAAUCUUCUAUGAAGGACUUGGAGGAGGAACCCGCCUUGCAAUGCCGAAGACAAUUUGCGCGCCGGACUCGUCGUCAUUGAAGCCUGGUUCAGGGGCUACUGAGGGAGUCCUGGAUUAGGGGGUGUUCGGGUAGCCGGACUAUACCUUCAGCCGGACUCCUGGACUAUGAAGAUACAAGAUUGAAGACUUCGUCCUGUGUCCGGAUGGGACUUUCCUUGGCGUGGAAGGCAAGCUUGGCGAUGCGGAUAUUCAAGAUCUCCUACCAUUGUAACCAACUCUAUGUAACCCUAACCCUAUCCAAUGUCUAUAUAAACUGGAGGGUUGUAGUCCGUAGGCAAUCAACUCCAUAUACAACAAUCAUACCGUAGGCUAGCUUCUAGGGUUUAGCCUCCUUGAUCUCAUGGUAGAUCUACUCUUGUACUACCCAUAUCAUCAAUAUUAAUCAAGCAGGACGUAGGGUUUUACCUCCAUCAAGAGGGCCCGAACCUGGGUAAAACAUCGUGUUCCCUGCCUCCUGUUACCAUCCGGCCUAGACGCACAGUUCGGGACCCCCUACCCGAGAUCCGCCGGUUUUGACACCGACACUCCCCCACCGACUGGGGGAGACAAGAAAAGGAAGGCCACCCCAACUGGGGAGGCCGGAGGGUCCAAGAAGGGAAGGACUCUCCUUCCGGACAGUUCCACCGCCGCUGACGAAGGCGAAGAUGAGUGGUUGCCCAGGGUCAAGCAACCGGGGAGAUCGUAAGUAUUCGGAUACUAGAGUAACUCAUAGGAUUCCUUUAUCGCACUACUUUCCCUAACACCGAACGCAAUUAUGCAGGCCACCACGAGCCAGUAUCGAUGUAUCAUCGAACGGCUCCUUGGGCUUGUCGGACAUGGAUAGCGAUCCAGUCCUGACCGCCACCUCCCCUCAUCCUGCCGACGACGCUGAGGUGUUGUCUCAAGAGGCACCGGAUCAAGGGGAGACAGUCCCGGAGGCACCUCAAGGCGACCUUCCGGACUCCGCGAGCCGAGGGGACGGGGCCCCUGAGAGCUCCGAGUUUGGCCCUCAGCCGAAGACCGCGCCGGAACCUCCAGCGGUUCCAAGCUCGGGCAGGCGGCCUCCUUCUAAGAGGGGCAAGACGCCUGUGCUAGUGACCUCUGUCCAUCCAAAGGCGCCGGACAAUCUGCUGGAAGCGUUUCGCAGCGCUUCCAUCGACGAGGAGCACCGCACUAUCAUGAGUGCGGUGAUCCAGAAGGUUCAGUCCGCCAAGAGCGGAUUGACUAAAGCCUAUGCCAGCCUUCUAACAGGCUUCGAGGUAAGUGUUAAAAUGUAGUAUAAAUAUUACCGCAUAGACAGUAGCCCCUGAUGCUUUGUUCGGUGUUCACAAAGAAAAGCCGAAUAGAGGACCAAAUAAUAUCGCAGGAGUCUAAUAUAAGUAUGUCAAUAUGCAUAUGCAGGCUUCGCUGCUGGCGUCCGCCGCACUAACUGCGGAGGUCGCCAUACUGAAGCAGGACCUCAAGGGGUCCAGGAAAGAGCUCGGCCUUGCCAAGAGGCAGCUCGAGGAGAACAAGGGUAAGUAAUACCCCGUCUAUAGAUAUGUAUAUAUAAAAAAGGACGCGAUUGCAAAAUGACAGGAUCAUUGUAUGUUUGCCAGGGGCCACGACCGAGGUGGCGACCCUGAAGCAAGCGCUAACCAAGGCCGAAGAUAAAGCGGCCCAGGAGGGCAUCGAGCAAGAGAAGCACGAGGCUCGGGUGGGCGAGGUGCAGUAAGAGCUCGAGGCUCUCAUGACGAAGCACGAGGCGUUGGAGCUUGACUCAAAGACACGAGAGUCUGAGCUUGCCGCGGCCCUUGAGAGCGCAAAGAGUGCCAAGGCCGAGGCCCAGAAGGCCCUCCAGGAGAUCGACGCAAUGAAGAAGAUAGCGGCGGUAAGGCAUUCUAUAUGCAGAGCAAGCAUGUAAAAGUAAAUUACCGAUUACUUACCCAAAUUCAGAGCUCUCCAGGAGCAUUCGUAGAUUUGCCCUGCAGUGUGUCGGAUGCCGCGCAGUUUUACCAGGCCGAGGAGGGAAGCUCAACGGAGAAGCUGUUCUGGUCUCGGUAUACUGGGACCGAACACCCAAUGCCUCUGAGCGACCAACUAAAGCAGAUGGUCGAGCUGCACAAGGUAGCCGAACAGACCAUGAAGGGCCUUAUAGUCCGACUGUGGCAUGGCGACAUCCUUCCGGACAGCUACUUCGUCCUGGUGAGGCGGCUUGUGGAUGCCUGCCCACGGCUGGAGGUCAUCAAGCGGUCCGUCUGCAUCGAAGGUGCACGUCGGGCUUUCGCCCGUGUGAAGGUGCAGUGGGCCAAGCUAGACGCUGUGAAGCUGAUCAAGGAAGGGCCGCCGCAGGGCAAGGAGCAUCGCACCCCCGAAAUUUAUUAUGAGGGUGUCCUGAAGGGUGCCCGUCUUGUAGCGGAUGAAUGUUCAAAGGAUGUAAUAUUUGAGUGAACUUGCUCGUGUGAUCCUGUAUGAUGAAAACUUGUUUUGUAUGCGUUAUGCAACGCUUGUGUGAAUUUAAAAUAUUACCUUCUGUUUGGCCGUUUAUCCAAUCUGAGAGAUGGCUAGUCCUCGGCUUCUGCCCCCAUGCCACGAGUGCUGGGGUGUUCAGGAUAAACCUGAGCACUCUUGUUCCCAUAUUUGGGUCCUUCGAGGGAGGUGCUCAGCACAAUGAACAAGGCAACCGGACUAAUAAUGCUUUAUCACUCUCACUUAGCCAUAGAAUUCUAUAAUUUUAAAUUUCGACGAAGCCCCUGGUAUUCGGAAGGCCGAAUUCGGGGCGCGAUACACGCCUAUAAGCCGGACAGGGCCGACCCCUCGCCCUAAGCGGCAUAAGUCUUUAGGGACUCGAAAAACCUCGUCGAACAGCGACCAGUCUCUCGCCUUAUCAUGAUAGUCAGUUUUAGCUUUCUCUACUGAGGUGCUAAGCCCGGCAGAACCGGGGCACAAUCUGUCACAUCCCUAGCUCUGACCUGUCCUGUGCUUGCUUCCAUCUGUGCAUCAUGUUUAAAUUUUUGAAACUUGAACUGAGGAAUUUUGGAAGCCUCAAAAACUUAAAUAAAAGAGGGGCAAAAACCCUAGAAAUCUCAUUCAUUGCUCCAAAAUGCUCUUCUUAAAUGUUUGAUAAUUUUUGGUAAGGGUUCUGGUCCCAACCAAAAUAUUGAAAUUUUUUUAAGGAAUUAUUUUUGGGACUUUGGAUUUAAUUCAUUAGCUAUUUGAAUUUGAAUUAUAUUCAUAUAAUUAGAAUAUAAUUUCAAAUACCCCCUGAAAUAUUUUAUAAGCUUUUGGAAAAGUCCAUCUAGCAAUAUAAAAUAUUCAGAGGAGCUUUGGCAUUGUUUGAAUUAUUAUUUUAAUUCAAAACAGUGGCAAAAGAAUUAAAUAAAAGAAAAACAGAACUGAAAUAGAAAUAAAAGAGAGAGAGAGAAGGAAGUUACCUGGCCUCACCCGUGCAGCCCACCAGAGCCGGCCCAGCUCCUGUGCUGGUCCAGCACUGUGCGGCCCAGCCCACCGCUGUCGCCACCGUCUUCAACCUCCUGCCAGUAGGCAGGAGGGCGUGUGCCCGACGCGCGCGCGCACGCACCGGCCACCUCAUGCUUGCCGCUUGCUCCUGGACGUCGCUAGGUGCGCCACGCCACCCCCUCGGACCCCUCUCACUCUUCCUCGAGGCCCCGCCCCUCUGCUCCCUCUCUCUCGCCCGAACCCGAACGCAGCCAUCGCCACCGACGAGAGCCACCGCGGCCACCGCCUCCCCCUUGCCUCUCCGACGCGCCCCCGAGCUCCGCCGUGACGUCCCCGUCCCUACCACGGAACCACAAGACGCCGGACGCCCUGGAGCGCCGUCACCGACGCCAUCUUCUUCCUCUGCACCGACGGCCGUCGUCGUUUGAUUCGCCGCCCAUAGAGCGUCCCCGGCCUCGCCCCCGCGCUCGUUGGACUCGCGGUGAGCCGCUGACCCGUUCCCCUCUUCUUCCCAUGCCGUUUGGCCGCUCUAGCCAUUGCUUCCGCCGGACCCGAGAGCUCGCCGCCGCCGUGCCUCGUCACUGUCGUGGCCAGAGCCACCGUGGCUCAAAGCCGGGCACACCACCGUGCUCCAAACCUCACUAGGAGCACGUAGAACCCACCAGCUUCCCCUCCCGAGCACCACAACGCCAAACCCGCAGGUGCCCGAACUCCGGCCGCCGCCUUGGAGCUCGCCGCCGUCGACUCAGGCCACCCCAGCUCCUCUGGCUUGCUCCAUUGGAUGCGCACGAGCUCGAGCUCCCUGUAGAACCCCUCCGCGCGUCGAAUGGGCACCGGAGCAGCCAUUCCGGCGAGCCACCGCCGCGUCUGGUCGUUGCCGGCGGUUAGACGCCGGUGGAUUAGCCCGGUUGACCAGGGAUUUGACCCCCCUGGGUCACCGACGUGUGGGCCCGUCCCCUGCUAACUUUUGGUUAAUUUAAUAACUAUUUCAGUUAAGCCACUGACUCACUGACAUGCGGGCCCCGCCCGGCUAACUAAGUUAGUUAGGGUUAAUUUUAAUUAGGUUAGUUAGUCCAGACACUGACACGCAGGGCCCACAGGUCAGUCUGACCUGGACGGCGCCCGUUGACCUGCUGACAUCACUAUGAGGUCAUGAUGACGCAAUAAUUCCUUUCUGGAAUUUAAAUAAAUCUUAAAUGAUUUAAUAAUUUCAGAAAAUAGCUAAAACUUCUAUAAAUCAUAGAAAAUUAACCGUAACUCCAAAUUAAAUAAAUUAUAUAUGAAAAAUUAUCAGAAAAAUUCAAGGAAUCCAUCUUUACCAUUUUCAUGCAUGUUAGAACAACUUAUAGCUGCUGUUUAGCACAAAUCAAUUAAAUGGCAUUUGAAUAAUCACAUAUGGAGUUUAAAUUUGAAUCUUGUAUUCAAACCAACUUCAUUUAAUCUGUUGCUAGUUGCAUUAGCUCAAACACAUUCAUUUUGCCAUGUCAUGAUCAUGCAUCAUAUUGUGCAUCGCAUUGAUUGUGUUCCCUUCUAUGUUGCCGGUAUUUGUCCCCUCUCGAUAGACGUGAUACCGAUGAUGUGAUCGUUGACACUGAUGAAGACUCAAUGUUAUCUUCAGAAGUGCCAGGCAAGCAAAACCCCCUUGUUCAUUCCGAUAAAAUCCCACUCUCUCGCUCCUGCUCUCUUUUACUGCAUUAGGACAACAACGACAUAUUUGAUACUUGCUGCGGUAGCUGAACCCUUUAUCCUUUGCAUGACCUGUCAUCGCCACAGUAAAUAGAUGAAACCCACUAGCAUGAGUAGGAGUUGUUUGAGCCCUGAUGUGCCUACUCAUUCAUGCUUGUUUGUCAUGCCUGCUACUGCUUAGAGUUGAGUCAGGUCUGAUUCAUCGGGGAUGAAUCAGAGGCGUGUGAACAUGUCCUACUGUGUGUGAGCUAAGUGUGUGAACACGAUUUGGUAAAGGUAGCGGUGAGAGGCCAUGUAGGAGUACAUGGUGGGUUGUCUCAUUGCAGCCGACCUCAGGAACUGAGUUCUGUGUUUGUGAUCCAUGACCAGUUACUACCACACAUUGGGUUCCGGUAACUCGACCCCUCUCGACUUAUUAAUCAACAUGAUCUCUGUCCAGGAGUUGCAACUAGUUUCUGGUGUUUGUAGGUAGUGUUAGUAGUCUACCAAGUGGCACCCGGUACAGGUGGGCUUGGGACAGACUAGGCACAGUGGCACGGUGUACCAAGUGGCACCCGGUUGUUGGGCUUGGGAACCCUGCACACAUCGUUUGGGGCCGUAAGCGACACCCCGGCCGGAUCUCCUUGCAGAUGGAACCCGAAUAGGCGAUAAACCUGGACUAGAGACUUGUUCGGUUAGUCAGGUCGUGGCCGACUCCCUCGCCCGGCUUCCGCUUGAAGGUUGCCGAGGUACAUGACGUGUACAGGGCGAUAAGUGGCAAAAGCGUGUGUGAAGAAGUACACCCCUGCAGGGUUAUCAUUAUCUAUUCGAAUAGCCAGAUUCCUCGGAUAUGGAAACUUGGACCCCUUGCAUAGUUCAUAGACAAGUGAAAGUGGAUACUCUAAAAUACGCAAGAUAAGCGUGAGUGCUAUGGAUGGCGUUCUCGUAGGGAGACGGGAGCGGAUCCAUAGUGGUGUAUUGAUAUGGUGAAUAUGUGGACUCGUGCGCGCCACCUCAAAAGAGUUACUUGCAGUCGUAGUUCAGGAUAGCCACCGAGUCAAAGCUGGCUUGCUGCAGUUAAACCCCACCAUCCCCUUUGUUGAUAAUGAUGCAUAUUUAGAUAGAUCUGAUGUAAGUCUUGCUGGGUACAUUUGUACUCACGUUGCUUAAUUUAUGUUUUUGCAGAGAGACUUCAGUCUCACUAGUAGUUCCACGUGGACUUCGACGUUUAGCUUGUUACCUCAGCUACGAUCUUGUGCCCUCGGCAGGAUCUGAUAGAUAGUCAGGCUUCUCAGCCUUUUUCAUUUAUCAAUGUCUGUACUCAGACAUGUUAAGCUUCCGUUUGUGUUUUGACCUGUAUGCUCUGAUUGUUGGGUCAUAAGACCCAUGUUUGUAAUGUCUCGCUCCUCGGAGCCUAUUGAAUAAACUACUUGAGUCGUAGAGUCAUUUUGUGAUGCCAUGUUGUAUUGCACAUAUCGAGCAUAUUGUGUGUAUGUUAGUGAAAUGCUUGGUAUGCGUGGGAUCUGACUAUCUAGUUGUUUAUCUUUAGUAGCCUCUCUUACCGGGAAAUGUCUCCUAGUGUUUCCACCGAGCCAUGGUAGCUUGCUACUGCUCCGGAACACUUAGGCUGGCCGGCAUGUGUCCUUCUUCGUUCCUGUGUCUGUCCCUUCGGGGAAAUGUCACGCGAUGAAUACCGGAGUCCUGUUAGCCCGCUACAGCCCGGUUCACCGGAGUCCUGCUAGCCCAGUGCUACAGCCUGGAUUCACUCGCUGAUGACCGACACGUUCGAUGCUGGGUCAUGGAUGCCUGUCCCUGUAAGUUUGUGCCACUUUGGGUUUACGACUAGCCAUGUCAGCCCGGGCUCCUUAUCAUAUGGAUGCUAGCGACACUGUCAUAUACGUGUGCCAAAAGGCGCAAACGGUCCCGGGUAAAGGUAAGGCGACACCCGUGGGAAUACCGUGCGUGAGGCCGCAAAGUGAUAUGAAGUGUUACAUGCUAGAUCUAUGUGGCAUUGAGUCGGGGUCCUGACAGCAUUGGUAUCAGAGCUUGACUGCCUGUAGGAUUACCAAGCCAAACUGGUCGAAGUUGAGUCUAGAAAUUCUUUAGUUAUAUAAGGGAAUUGAUUGUGGGAUGGAACGUAAGGCUCUUUUUACUCCUUAUACCUCAUGGCCUUCUGAUCUGAGUCAUCAUCUUCUCUUCUACGGGGAUUAAGAACUAGGCUAUCUCUUCUUUCCAUCAGGAUCACGUGUUACUAAUCCGUAGACUUAUAGAUUGUUGGACUUAAGCCUCGUUUCAGUUCCUACUACUUUUGUAUGAUUAUUGUUGAUCUCGAGACCUUGAUAUUGUGCUUCUGAGUGGUUAUGCCACCAUUUUUGUGAAUGUCUCAAAUCUUUUCUGAGCAUUUACAGCCGUUAUGCUGUCCGAGUCAUCCCAGGUUUCUAAGUAGUCUGAUGCAUUUGCAAAUCCUUUCUUCCCGUUUCAAUGUUCCCAUAGGCCGGAUUAACCACACUAAUCAGUGAGUUGAGGUACUCCGUUACCUUGACAUAUAUGUUGGAGAUAUUAUUAUGACCCUAGGUGUCUUAGGGGAUCAUCUAGUAAUUUAGCCAUGAUUUGUGUUCCCAGUGUGAUGAUUCUGGCCAUCAUUCUCGAAAGCAUCCCGUGAUGCUACUUAGUAAUAGGUAUUCUGUUCCUGGGUUCUUGAACCCGAGAUUCACUCUACCUACUUCAUGUUGAUAGUAAUUGCUAGUGCCUUUAGGAUAUUAGUAACCUUUGCGAUAGUCCUUGAAGUCCGUGGUAUCUUCUUCUUCCAAAUACCAUGAACUACUUAUGGCAGAAGUUCCUCGUUGAACUGAAAUAUCACAACAGGAUUAUUCUUGAUGAGUUCUCCAUUAUAUAUUGUGGCUCUGCCAGUUCUACCUUUCUGCAUGGGUUAUCCGGAAAAAAUAUGUUGAACUUCGUUCGACAUGCUAAUCCAUGCAUCCACAACUCAGAAAAUCAUAUGUUCUUUUGAGUUGACCCAUCUUAGUUGUUUCCGACCCUCGCCUAUCAAUUGAUAGUCAAGAGUAUGCGUGCAUUCGUUCGUCGAUGCCUAUUACCCUUGUGGUCCGCCAAGCCAUUCUAUUUUAGAAUGAAUAGGAGAAACAAACUCCAGUACCUCAUCCAUAUCUAGGAUUGGGUCAAAGUAGUUGUAUUCCGCAGAUCAAAUGCCAAUCCAGCUUUUGGUUCUGUUCUACCUUGGAGUAUUACCCCCUUUAUGUCAGAAUUGUCAUGAGAACUGCACCAACUUUCAUGAAUUUUGACGUAGUAAUACUUCUCACCAUCAUUAGUCAUUCCUCGGCCAUCGUGUUGAUGCAACCGGAAUACCGACAAAUGAAUUGUGAUGUGUGAAAUCAAUACUCCCAGCAACCUCGUUGCUUGGUAGUUAAGGGACAAUAAUUUCAUUCUUAGCGUGUUGGUUUUUGAAUCAUCCUUCUAAGACUGAUCGUGCUACCUAGUCCUUAUUUCGGUGCACCCUUCGAUUGAUGAGUUAGGAUCUUGUCAAGUCCUCACUCAUUUGAUCAUAUCGUCUUGCCCUCAAAAGCGAGAUUGUUCUCAAGCUUAGUAACAUACCGGUGGUUCGUGAUUUUCCGAAUAUCUUCUUGGAAGUAUUACCAGGUUGUCACCUGACUGCUAUGUUGAGCUCGUGAUCAAGUCGGGUUCUUGUGAACCACCCUUUCUCCAAGAAUCUGUGAUGGAUAUCCCGGAGCUAGUUGGUUAAGCUAGACAACAACGGCGGUAAGUGGUGAGAGCGUGUGUGAAGAAGUAUACCCCUGCAGGGUUAACAUCAUCUAUUCGAAUAGCCGUGUCCGCGGAAAAGGACUUCUGGGUUGCUUAUAUCAGUUCAUAGACAAGUGAAAGUGGAUACUCUAAAAUACGCAAGAUAAGCGUGAGUGCUAUGGAUGGCGUUCUCGUAGGGAGACGGGAGCGGAUCCAUAGUGGUGUAUUGAUAUGGUGAAUAUGUGGACUCGUGUGCGCCACCUCAAAAGAGUUACUCGCAGUCGUAGUUUAGGAUAGCCACCGAGUCAAAGCUGGCUUGCUGCAGUUAAACCCCACCACCCCUUUGUUGAUAAUGAUGCAUAUGUAGUUAGUUCUGAUGUAAGUCUUGCUGGGUACAUUUGUACUCACGUUUGCCUAUUUUAUGUUUUUGCAUAGAGACUUCGGUCUCGCUAGUAGUUCCGCGUGGACUUCGACAUUUAGCUUGUUACCUCAGCUACGAUCUUGUGCCCUCGGCAGGAUCUGAUAGAUAGUCAGGCUUCUCAGCCUUUUUCAUUUAUAGAUGUCUGUACUCAGACAUGAUAGCUUCCGCUUGUGCUUUGACUUGUAUGCUCUGAAUGUUGGGUCGUGAGACCCCUGUUUGUAAUAUCUCGCUCCUCGGAGCCUAUUGAAUAAAUUACUUGAGUCGUAGAGUCAUGUUGUGAUGCCAUGUUGUAGUUGCACAUAUCGAGCAUAUUGUGUGUAUGUUAUUGAAAUGCUUGGUAUGUGUGGGAUCUGACCAUCUAGUUGUUUAUCUUUAGUAGCCUCUCUUACGGGGAAAUGUCUCCUAGUGUUUCCAUCGAGCCAUGGUAGCUUGCUACUGCUCCGGAACACUUAGGCUGGCCGGCAUGUGUCCUUCUUCGUUCCUGUGUCUGUCCCUUCGGGGAAAUGUCACGCGAUGAAUACCGGAGUCCUGUUAGCCCGCUACAGCCCGGUUCACCGGAGUCCUGCUAGCCCAGUGCUACAGCCUGGAUUCACUCGCUGAUGACCGACACGUUCGAUGCUGGGUCAUGGAUGCCUGUCCCUGUAAGUUUGUGCCACUUUGGGUUUACAACUAGCCAUGUCAGCCCGGGCUCCUUAUCAUAUGGAUGCUAGCGACACUGUCAUAUACGUGUGCCAAAAGGCGCAAACGGUCCCGGGUAAAGGUAAGGCGACACCCGUGGGAAUACCGUGCGUGAGGCCGCAAAGUGAUAUGAAGUGUUACAUGCUAGAUCUAUGUGGCAUUGAGUCGGGGUCCUGACAGCGUUGGUAUCAGAGCUUGACUGCCUGUAGGAUUACCAAGCCAAACUGGUCGAAGUUGAGUCUAGAAAUGCUUUAGUUAUAUAAGGGAAUUGAUUGUGGGAUGGAACGUAAGGCUCUUUUUACUCCUUAUACCUCUUGCCCUUCUGAUCUGAGUCAUCUUAUCUUUCCUACGGGGUUAAGGAACUAGGUUUUCUCUUCUUUCUAUCAGGAUCACGUGUUACUACUCUGUAGACUUAUAAGAUUGUUGGACUUAAGCCUCGUUUCAGUUCCUACUACUUCUGUAUGAUUAUUGUUGAUCUCGAGACCUUGAUAUCGUGCUUCUGAGUGGUUAUGCCACCAUUUUUGUGAAUGUCUCAAAUCUUUUCUGAGCAUUUACAGCCGUUAUGCUGUCCGAGUCAUCCCAGGUUUCUAAAUAGUCUGAUGCAUUUGCAAAUCCUUUCCCUCUGGUUUCGAUGCUCCUUUAUGCCAGCUCAAUCACACAAAUUGUUGAGUUGAGGUAUUCUAUUGCCUCGACCUUUAUGUUGGAAUAUUGUUAUGACCUAGGUGUCUUAGGGGAUCAUCUAGUAAUUUAGCCAUGAUUUGUGUUCCCAGUGUGAUGAUUCUGGCCAUCAUUCUCGAAAGCAUCCUGUGAUGCCAUUUAGUUAGUAGGUAUUCUAUUCCUGGGUUCUUAAACCCGAUAUUCACCCUACUUACAUCAUGUUGAUAGUGUUUGCUAGUUCCUUCAGGAUAUUAGUAACCUUUGCGAUAGUUCUCGAGGUUCGUGGUACAUCCUUCUUCCAAUUACCAUGAACCAUUCAUGGCAGAAGUUUGUUGGAUCAAAGGAUCACAACAGGCCCUCUAUGAGUUCUCCAUUCUAUAUUGCGACUCUGCCAGCUCAACCUUUCUGCAUGGGUUAUCCGGAAGAAUUAUGUUGAUCUCGCUCGACAUACUAAUCUAUGCAUCCACAACUCAGAAAGUUAUAUGUUCCUUUGAGUUGUCCCUCUUUAGUUGUCUAUUGACCUUCGUCUAUCAAUUGAUAGUCAAGAGUAUGCAUGCAUUCGUUUAUCGAUGCCUAUUACUCUUGUGGUCCGUCAAGCCAUUCUAUUGUAGAAUGAUAGGAGAAACAAACUCCAGUACCUCUUCCCUAUCUAGGAUUGGGUCAAAGCAAUUGUGCUCCGCAGAUCAAAAUGCCAGCCCAGCUUUUGAUUCUGUUCUACCCUGAAGUAUUACCGUCUUUAUGUCAGGAUUUUCAUGGGGAUUGCACCGGCUCUUGUGAAUUCUUGAUGUAGUGAUACUUCUCACCAUCAUUAGUCAUUCCUCGGCCCUCGUGUUGAUGCAACCGGAAUACCGACGAAUGAAUUGUGAUGUGUGAAAUCAAUACUCCUAGCAACCUCGUUGCUUGGUAGUUAAAGGACAAUAAUUUCAUUCUUAGCGUGUUGGUUUUUGAAUCAUCCUUCUAAGACUGAUCGUGCUACCUAGUCCUUAUUUCGGUGCACCCUUCGAUUGAUGAGUUAGGAUCUUGUCAAUUCCUCACUCAUUUGAUCAUAUCGUCUUGCCCUCAAAAGAGAGAUUGCUCUCGAGCUUAGUAACAUACCGGUGGUUCGUGAUUUUCCGAAUAUCUUCUCGAAAGUAUCACCAGGUUGUCACCGGACCGCUAUGUUGAGUUCGUGAUCAAGUUGGUUCCUUGUAAACCACCCCUUCUCCAAGAAUCUGUGUGGGAUACCCCUGAGCUAGUUGGUCAAGCUAAACAACAACUUGGAGAGUUGGAAGAUAAAAGCUUGCCUGACUUAGUUCGUUCCAAAGGGAUAUCUUUGUGUGUGUGUGUGUGUGUGUGUGUGUGUGUGUGUUGAAGAAAGAUGAUAUCUUCGUCGAUUGGUCCCUGUGAUCAGUUGCUGGACCUAUUGUCUUAUCAACCCUUUGAUUUGAGUGUGGGCUAUCGUCAAAUCAAGUUAGAACCAACGAUGUUCGUAAUGUUGUCUUACUCGUGGUUGAUCCCUCGAGCAUACACCAUUAUAUCUUUUGGGUCUGACCAAUGCUAUCACCGUGUUCACACGAUGGUGGAAGUCCAGUGAUAUGGAAAUUCCGAUGAGUUGUUAUUGAGCCCAUUGACAACAUUCUUAUCUCCUCCAUGAUGUUGUUGAACAUUAAGUUAGUGUUGGAAACUUUUGAAAGCAUUUUCUUCAUGCUAGCUCAUGAAGUACUUGUUUGAUGAAAGGAGUGACUUCCUUUGAUUCACGUGCAUUUUGAUGUAAGUUGCCGUCGUGAAUUCGAGAAAGUUUGUUUUUGCUCCUUUGGAAUCAUCCCAAGUCGGUCAUGCACGUGCGAAGAGUUCUGUGGUCUGUUAGACUGAUCAUCUUCAUUCCAUAUGUAUAUCCUAGCACACCAAGCCACUGAUUGAUUUGUUCAAGGAGAAGAAGUUCCUUCAUAAGAGCUAAUCAUAUGACUUAUGCAAGGACUUCGUUAUCCACGGCGAUGGUUCCCAACCAGAACUCGGUAGUGUUUUAUUGUAAGACUACCAUGUGAUCAUGUUUGACUGAGACAACAUGUUCACACGUGCGUAGCAGAACCAGCUCAUGUUUUGGAGCUUGCUAUCGUAGUUCAUUCCCCGAGAAUCUCGCAACGUCAUCUCGUCGAAUUGUGUUGCAAACUUUCAUUUUUCUUCCUAGACUCGAUGAGUCUGGAAUAUCCUAACACCAACCAGAUCUGAAUCUCAGGCAGAUAUGAUGGUUGGAACAUUUUCCAAGAACUAUAAUAUUGGUCCCUCGAUAACCGGUAAAGUGGAUGUCGUGGCCAACACACCCAACCGGAAGACCUAUUAUUAUAAUAUCUUGAUUGAGGAAGUUGGCCACCUCCCCAUAGGGAUUUCGUAGGAUUUACUCCCUAGUUGCCCCUAUGGAUUUUGAGAUCCCGAAGUCCGACCUUUUACUUGAUGUCCUAGAUACCAGACCAUUUCUAUGCAUGGGUUACACUAGCACAUCAAGGAGAACAUCAGAAGCGGAGUGCUAAAUGUCUCUCGGUCGAUCAUCCAGAUUUUAUUUCCUUGGCCCCGCGAAGGGUGAAAUCUGGGAAGGUGUUAUCUUCUUUUGCAUCCGCAUCAUCCAUCAUCAUUCAUCAUGGUAGUAUGUUGUGUUGCCAGGAUCCUUGACACGGAUGCUGAUAAAACCUUGAUGAUUGUGGAAAUGCUCAAGUUCUUGAGAGCACGUACAAGCGCUAUGUGUUAUCAUCGGCUCUAGCUGGGUUUGCUCUCAGUUCCCUCGGCAAUGCUAUGAUCUAUUCAAACAGUGAAUUCACUCUCUAUUGUUGGGUUCUUCCCCAGUUACCAGAAUCAUUCCCAGCAUUUGCAUUUUGUUCCCAGCUUGCACCGCCAAUGUGCCAUUCUACCAUGGGUCUCUUCCAUUUCCGGUGAUAAGCAAAUUCAUCCAUUACGUUGUCUUCAACAAGGUAAUCCACAUCAUCCAAGUUUGAGUAUGCCAUUCUACCGACCCCCUCCAAACGAUCGCUCGAGAAUUGUCUUAGGCUGGUUUAAAGAGUUUCAAUGAUCUCUGAAUCAAAGGUAAUUCUUUUUGCCACUUAAGGGGAUAUCCCUACGAGUCACCUUCCCUAAGGUGUAUCGUUAUGGUAUCAUGGCAACUCAACUCCUCGCUACGUUGACAAUCGUUUACCACCUUCUUAAGCGUGAAAUUGUUGUCUACCUAGUGAACCUUCGUUAUCCGUUUCUUUCCACCCCUCUUGAUGUGUAUCUCGUGUCUCAACCCGAGAGAUGGUCCUAUGUCUCAUUCCGUGAGUUGUUCGAUCUUUGAGAAGAUCGACCCUUCUAGAGUCUCCUUCUUCCCUCCAUGUCAUGUUGACAGGAUUUUUCAAGGCAAGACUUCAAGACAAUGAUGGUGAAUGAAUCAACGUUCAACUGAAGUGCACCUUGGAUCGUGAAGAUUAUACUAGUAUGCGUUACCCUUCACCUUACCCUAUGCUUGAAUCUCGAGACGAGAUUCUUGUUUAGUGGGGGUGAGUUGUCACAUCCCUAGCUUUGACCUGUCUUGUGCUUGCUUCCAUCUGUGCAUCAUGUUUAAAUUUUUGAAACUUGAACUGAGGAAUUUUGGAAGCCUCAAAAACUUAAAUAAAAGAGGGGCAAAAACCCUAGAAAUCUCAUUCAUUGCUCCAAAAUGCUCUUCUUAAAUGUUUGAUAAUUUUUGGUAAGGGUUCUGGUCCCAACCAAAAUAUUGAACAUUUUUUAAGGAAUUAUUUUUGGGACUUUGGAUUUAAUUCAUUAGCUAUUUGAAUUUGAAUUAUAUUCAUAUAAUUAGAAUAUAAUUUCAAAUACCCCCUGAAAUAUUUUAUAAGCUUUUGGAAAAGUCCAUCUAGCAAUAUAAAAUAUUCAGAGGAGCUUUGGCAUUGUUUGAAUUAUUAUUUUAAUUCAAAACAGUGGCAAAAGAAUUAAAUAAAAGAAAAACAGAACUGAAAUAGAAAUAAAAGAGAGAGAGAGAGAAGGAAGUUACCUGGCCUCACCCGUGCAGCCCACCAGAGCCGGCCCAGCUCCUGUGCUGGUCCAGCACUGUGCGGCCCAGCCCACCGCUGUCGCCACCGUCUUCAACCUCCUGCCAGUAGGCAGGAGGGCGUGUGCCCGACGCGCGCGCGCACGCACCGGCCACCUCAUGCUUGCCGCUUGCUCCUGGACGUCGCUAGGUGCGCCACGCCACCCCCUCGGACCCCUCUCACUCUUCCUCGAGGCCCCGCCCCUCUGCUCCCUCUCUCUCGCCCGAACCCGAACGCAGCCAUCGCCACCGACGAGAGCCACCGCGGCCACCGCCUCCCCCUCGCCUCUCCGACGCGCCCCCGAGCUCCGCCGUGACGUCCCCGUCCCUACCACGGAACCACAAGACGCCGGACGCCCUAGAGCGCCGUCACCGACGCCAUCUUCUUCCUCUGCACCGACGGUCGUCGUCGUUUGAUUCGCCGCCCACAGAGCAUCCCCGGCCUCGCCCCCGCGCUCGUUGGACUCGCGGUGAGCCGCUGACCCGUUCCCCUCUUCUUCCCAUGCCGUUUGGCCGCUCUAGCCAUUGCUUCCGCCGGACCCGAGAGCUCGCCGCCGCCGUGCCUCGUCACUGUCGUGGCCAGAGCCACCGUGGCUCAAAGCCGGGCACACCACUGUGCUCCAAACCUCACCAGGAGCACGUAGAACCCACCAGCUUCCCCUCCCGAGCACCACAACGCCAAACCCGUAGGUGCCCGAACUCCGACCGCCGCCUUGGAGCUCGCCGCCGUCGACUCAGGCCACCCCAGCUCCUCUGGCUUGCUCCAUUGGAUGCGCACGAGCUCGAGCUCCCUGUAGAACCCCUCCGCGCGUCAAAUGGGCGCCAGAGCAGCCAUUCCGGCGAGCCACCGCCGCGUCUGGUCGUUGCCGGCGGUUAGACGCCGGUGGAUUAGCCCGGUUGACCAGGGAUUUGACCCCCCUGGGUCACCGACGUGUGGGCCCGUCCCCUGCUAACUUUUGGUUAAUUUAAUAACUAUUUCAGUUAAGCCACUGACUCACUGACAUGCGGGCCCCGCCCGGCUAACUAAGUUAGUUAGGGUUAAUUUUAAUUAGGUUAGUUAGUCCAGACACUGACACGCAGGGCCCACAGGUCAGUUUGACCUAGACGGCGCCCGUUGACCUGCUGACGUCACUAUGAGGUCAUGAUGACGCAAUAAUUCCUUUCUGGAAUUUAAAUAAAUCUUAAAUGAUUUAAUAAUUUCAGAAAAUAGCUAAAACUUCUAUAAAUCAUAGAAAAUUAACCGUAACUCCAAAUUAAAUAAAUUAUAUAUGAAAAUUAUCAGAAAAUUCAAGGAAUCCAUCUGUACCAUUUUCAUGCAUGUUAGAACAACUUAUAGUUGCUGUUUAGCACAAAUCAAUUAAAUGGCAUUUGAAUAAUCACAUAUGGAGUUUAAAUUUGAAUCUUGUAUUCAAACCAACUUCAUUUAAUCUGUUGCUAGUUGCAUUAGCUCAAACACAUUCAUUUUGCCAUGUCAUGAUCAUGCAUCAUAUUGUGCAUCGCAUUGAUUGUGUUCCCUUCUAUGUUGCCGGUAUUUGUCCCCUCUCGAUAGACGUGAUACCGAUGAUGUGAUCGUUGACACUGAUGAAGACUCAAUGUUAUCUUUAGAAGUGCCAGGCAAGCAAAACCCCCUUGUUCAUUCCGAUAAAAUCCCACUCUCUCGCUCCUGCUCUCUUUUACUGCAUUAGGACAACAACGACAUAUUUGAUACUUGCUGCGGUAGCUGAACCCUUUAUCCUUUGCAUGACAUGUCAUUGCCACAGUAAAUAGAUGAAACCCACUAGCAUGAGUAGGAGUUGUUUGAGCCCUGAUGUGCCUACUCAUUCAUGCUUGUUUGUCAUGCCUGCUACUGCUUAGAGUUGAGUCAGGUCUGAUUCAUCGGGGAUGAAUCAGAGGCGUGUGAACAUGUCCUACUGUGUGUGAGCUAAGUGUGUGAACACGAUUUGGUAAAGGUAGCGGUGAGAGGCCAUGUAGGAGUACAUGGUGGGUUGUCUCAUUGUAGCCGACCUCAGGAACUGAGUUCUGUGUUUGUGAUCCAUGACCAGUUACUACCACACAUUGGGUUCCGGUAACUCGACCCCUCUCGACUUAUUAAUCAACAUGAUCUCUGUCCAGGAGUUGCAACUAGUUUCUGGUGUUUGUAGGUAGUGUUAGUAGUCUACCAAGUGGCACCCGGUACAGGUGGGCUUGGGACAGACUAGGCACAGUGGCACGGUGUACCAAGUGUCACCCGGUUGUUGGGCUUGGGAACCCUGCACACAUCGUUUGGGGCCGUAAGCGACACCCCGGCCGGAUCUCCUUGCGGAUGGAACCCGAAUAGGCGAUAAACCUGGACUAGAGACUUGUUCGGUUAGUCAGGUCGUGGCCGACUCCCUCGCCCGGCUUCCGCUUGAAGGUUGCCGAGGUACAUGACGUGUACAGGGCGAUAAGUGGCGAAAGCGUGUGUGAAGAAGUACACCCCUGCAGGGUUAUCAUUAUCUAUUCGAAUAGCCGGAUUCCUCGGAUAUGGAAACUUGGACCCCUUGCAUAGUUCAUAGACAAGUGAAAGUGGAUACUCUAAAAUACGCAAGAUAAGCGUGAGUGCUAUGGAUGGUGUUCUCGUAGGGAGACGGGAGCGGAUCCAUAGUGGUGUAUUGAUAUGGUGAAUAUGUGGACUCGUGCGCGCCACCUCAAAAGAGUUACUUGCAGUCGUAGUUCAGGAUAGCCACCGAGUCAAAGCUGGCUUGCUGCAGUUAAACCCCACCAUCCCCUUUGUUGAUAAUGAUGCAUAUGUAGAUAGAUCUGAUGUAAGUCUUGCUGGGUACAUUUGUACUCACGUUGCUUAAUUAUGUUUUUGCAGAGAGACUUCAGUCUCACUAGUAGUUCCACGUGGACUUCGACGUUUAGAUUGUUACCUCAGCUACGAUCUUGUGCCCUCGGCAGGAUCUGAUAGAUAGUCAGGCUUCUCAGCCUUUUUCAUUUAUCAAUGUCUGUACUCAGACAUGUUAAGCUUCCGUUUGUGUUUUGACCUGUAUGCUCUGAUUGUUGGGUCAUAAGACCCAUGUUUGUAAUGUCUCGCUCCUCGGAGCCUAUUGAAUAAACUACUUGAGUCGUAGAGUCAUUUUGUGAUGCCAUGUUGUAUUGCACAUAUCGAGCAUAUUGUGUGUAUGUUAUUGAAAUGCUUGGUAUGUGUGGGAUCUGACUAUUUAGUUGUUUAUCUUUAGUAGCCUCUCUUACCGGGAAAUGUCUCCUAGUGUUUCCACCGAGCCAUGGUAGCUUGCUACUGCUCCGGAACACUUAGGCUGGCCGGCAUGUGUCCUUCUUUGUUCCUGUGUCUGUCCCUUCGGGGAAAUGUCACGCGAUGAAUACCGGAGUCCUGUUAGCCCGCUACAGCCCGGUUCACCGGAGUCCUGCUAGCCCAGUGCUACAGCCUGGAUUCACUCGCUGAUGACCGACACGUUCGAUGCUGGGUCAUGGAUGCCUGUCCCUAUAAGUUUGUGCCACUUUGGGUUUACGACUAGCCAUGUCAGCCCGGGCUCCUUAUCAUAUGGAUGCUAGCGACACUGUCAUAUACGUGUGCCAAAAGGCGCAAACGGUCCCGGGUAAAGGUAAGGCGACACCCGUGGGAAUACCGUGCGUGAGGCCGCAAAGUGAUAUGAAGUGUUACAUGCUAGAUCUAUGUGGCAUUGAGUCGGGGUCCUGACACAAUCGCAGUAGUUCUCCUAGCGCUACCUUAGCCGAUAGAGCGGAAUGUAAGGUACCAAAACAUAGGAGCCGGGCAAACCCAACAUUUGAACAAAGACAUGAUUCGGAGCUGAUGCAUAUAGUGAUAUAAGUUCGGGGUGCCGCACUUGUGAAAGUGUUCGGACUUUUCACACUGUAUUGUGGGGUACGUAGGCCCCUGGUGUAUUGGUCGUACCAUAGUGUACGGUUGCAAGGCGUCAUUAAUGAACACACACACACACACACAUAUACAUAUAUAUAACAAGAAUGCAAUAAUAGUCGUAAUGUCAUGCAUUGUUUAUUAAAAAAUUGCGUUAAAGCAGAGUGAUACAGAUAGUGUGAUAAGCAAAGAGUAGGACUAUGUCCCUUCCAAGGGCAAUCUGAGGAAUGAUAUUAAAUUGAAUAUUUCACUCGUUACUGUAAUCAACCUGGGAAUUCUGUGGUAUGGCGUAGUUGUCUGCCUCCUUGGUUGCUGCAUCAUGUGUUUGGCAAUAGUGCUGCCGGACCGUGUUUCCAGAGAUUAAGGUCCUGAAAGAAAAAGAAAAAGAAAAAUAACCGAACGGGAAGCCCCUAGUGCGGUUUAGGCCGCGUCUUGGGGCGUGCCGCAGUUGUGCCCCCCUCCCCACCUAUGCCCAUGGUAAAUGCGUAAUUAUGUACGCGUGGCACGAGUUUCACCGCUAGACUGGGAUUGGGGUGGCCGUCGUAUUGCUACGCGAGCUCAGAUCGCGCCAGGCGGUCUAUUUGCCGAUUGCCUCGAGCGCGCUUGAAGGUGUCCGGGCUGUGAAGCACCGAACUGGUUGAUUGCCUUGAGAGGCUGCUUUGCGUUUCUGCUGCGAGGGCUGCGGUGUGCUCCUCUGUUCGGAGAGAGCGCUCUGUGUUUCCAUUGACUGUAAUAACUCCACGAGGUCCUGGCAUCUUGAGCUUGAGGUAUGCAUAAUGCGGUAUCGCAUUGAAUCUAGCAAAUUCGGUUCGCCCGAGCAGCGCGUGACAACCACUACGAAACAGGACUAUAUCGAAGAUUAACUCUUCGCUUCGGAAGUUAUCCGGGGAUCCGAAGACCACUUCCAGUGUAAUUGAGCCUGUGCAAUGGGCCUCUACACCUGGAAUGACGCCCUUAAAGGUCGUUUUUAUGGGUUUGAUCCUUGAGGGGUCUAUACCCAUUUUGCGCACUGUGUCCUGAUAAAGCAGGUUCAGGCUGCUGCCGCCAUCCAUAAGGACUCGAGUGAGGUGAAAUCCGUCGAUGAUUGGGUCUAGGACCAGUGCGGUGAAUCCACCAUGACGGAUACUAGUGGGGUAGUCCCUGCGAUCGAAGGUGAUCGAACAGGAGGACCAAGGGUUGAACUUUGGGGCGACUGGCUCCAACGCAUAUACGUCCCUGAGCGCACGCUUCCGCUCCCUCUUGGGGAUGUGGGUUGCGUAUAUCAUGUUCACCUUCCGCACUUGCGGGGGAAACCUCUUCUGUCCUCCAGUGUGCGGCUGUCGGGGCUCCUCCUCGUCAUCGCUAUGCGGCCCCUUGUCCUUGUUUUCGGCAAUUAACUUGCCGGCCUGCUUGAACACCCAACAAUCCCUGUUGGUGUGAUUGGCUGACUUGUCUAGGGUGCCGUGUAUUUGAUACGAGCGAUCGAAUAUACGGUCCAAGCUGGACAGACCCGGCGUACUUUGUUUGAAUGGCUUUUCCCGCUGACCGGGUUUAGAGCCUUUGAAUCCGGCAUUGACUGCUGUAUCCUCAGUAUUUUCGCUGUUAAUGCGGCGCUUAUGCUUGUUGCGACGUGACCUGCUAUUGCCGUCCUUGGUAUCUGAGGUACCAUGGUUCUUUGAUAUGUUAUUACUGCGAGCCAGCCAGCUGGCUUCUCCCGCACAAAAGCGGGUCAUGAGUGUUGUGAGAGCUGCCAUAGAUUUCGUCUUUUCCUGACCAAGGUGCUGGGCUAGCCACUCGUCUCGGAUGUUAUGCUUGAAAGCCGCUAAGGCCUCCGCAUCCGGACAGUCGAUGAUUUGAUUUUUCUUUGUAAGGAACCGAGUCCAGAAUUGCCUGGCCGACUCUUCUGGCUGCUGAAUUAUGUGGCUCAAAUCAUCGGCAUCUGGUGGUCGCACAUAAGUGCCCUGAAGUUGUCAAGGAAUGCAGCUUCCAGAUCUUCCCAACAGCUAAUGGAGUCCGCUGGCAAGCUGUUAAGCCAAUGCUGCGCUGGUCCUUUGAGCUUUAGUAGGACGUAUUUGAUGGCGUGUAAGUCAUCGCCGCGGGCCAUGUGGAUGUGGAGGAGGAAGUCCUCAAUCCAUACGGCGGGAUCUGUUGUGCCAUCGUAUGAUUCAAUAUUUACAGGUUUGAAACCUUCUGGGAAUUGAUGUUCCAUUACUUCGUCUGUGAAGCAUAAGGGGUGUGCGGCGCCUCUGUAUUGGGCUAUAUCGCGAUGCAGCUCGAAUGGGUCUUGCCCGCUGUGUUCGGCCCGGCCGGAUUUGCUUUUACUAUAUCCGGCAUGACGUUUGUCAUCUCGCAGAGUGGUGCGCCCUCGUGAUUUGUAGAUCGAUCUUGAAUGCUUUACCUUGUCCUCCAAUAUGUCUCACAGGUCUAGCGUAUCUCCCCAUGCCUUUUUAUUUGAAUGGCGUUGGGGUGGAGGCUGAGCUUUUGGCUAGAAUGCCUCUCUAUCGCGGCCACGAGGUGGCCGAUCAGCCGUAUCAUACGCUUCUUCCUCCAGUCGGGGUAGUAACCUGCGCCUUGGGUAACUCUUGGAGGGGCGCUCGAGUUUAUAUUCCUCGGCCGCGAGGACUUCAGUCCAUUUGUCAGCUAGCAGAUCUUGAUCAUCUUGAAGAUGCUGCUGCUUUUUCUUCAGGCUAUUUGCCGUGGCAUAAGCCGGCGCUUGAAGCGCUCUUGUUCGACGGGAUCCUCUGGUACGGUGAAUUCAUCAUCGCCGAGGCUUGCCUCGUCUUCGGAGGGGGCAUGUGAUUGUCAUCCUCCUCCUCUCCAUCUACCGCUCUCUCAGGAGAGCUGGCUCCUCCAUCCUCCUGCUCUGAAUCUUGCUGGAGGGGUUUGUUGUUUUCUUCGGCACUAUCCGGAGUGUUAUUAUCUCAUGUGCCGGUAUCACCACUUUUGCUUUGGCGGGACUUAGAGCGGCGCCGCUGACGUCGGCGUUUGGGUUGCUUCUUAGAGGGGUCAUCCUCCGCUAUCCCGUCGCCAUUGCCUUCUUUGGGUGUAUCCACCAUGUAUAUAUCGUAUGAUGAGGUGGCUUUCCAGUGCCCUAUAGGUGCUGGUUCAUGUUCAUCUCCUACAUCGUCGUCCAUACCGUUGAUGUCUUCGGAGUCGAAGUCGAGCAUGUCGGUUAAAUCAUCGAUGGUGGCUACAAAGUGGGUGGUGGGUGGGCGUCGAAUUUAUUCGUCGUCCGCAUCCCAAUCCCGUUGGCCAUAAUCCGGCCAGGGCUCUCCUGACAAAGAGAGAGACCUUAGUGAAUUCAGAAUGUCGCCGAAGGGCGAGUGCUGAAAGAUAUCUGCAACGGUGAAUUCCAUGAUCGGCGCCCAAUCGGAUUCGAUUGGCAGGGGCGCGGAUGGUUCGGAGUCCGGCACCUUGGAGUCACGGGCUGCGCAGAGGGUUAGGCUGGUGUUCGGCUCGAUCGCCGUUGAGACUGCAGCCCCUGAGGCGGUGUCUAACCACCCAUCCUCGACUGGUGCAGUUGGCUCCGAGCUAAGGGUCGGAGCUGUUGCGGGCGCAGCCUCUGGGGUACUGUUCAGCGGCAGAGCUAGGUCACACCCAUUGCGACAGUGCGGCGCGCCUGGCUGUGGCUCGAAUCCGUCGAAGAUCAAGUCUCCGCGGAUGUCGGCCGUGUAAUUCAAACUUCCAAAUAUGACCUGAUGGCCAGGGGCGUAGCUUUCAAUCUGCUCCAGAUGGCCAAGCGAAUUAGCCUGCAGUGCAAAGCCGCCGAAUACGAAGAUUUGUCCGGGGAGAAAAGUCUCACCCUAGACCGCAUCGCUAUCGAUGAUAGUAGGAGCCAUCAAGCCUAACGGCGACGGCACAGAGGAACUCUCAAUGAAAGCACCAAUGUCGGUGUCAAAAUCAGCGGAUCUCGGGUACAGGGUCCCGAACUGUGCGUCUAGGCCAGAUGGUAACAGGAGGCAGGGGACACGAUGUUUUACCCAGGUCUGGGCCCUCUUGAUGGAGGUAAAACCCUACGUCCUGCUUGAUUGAUAUUGAUGAUAUGGGUAGUACAAGAGUAGAUCUACCAUGAGAUCAGAUAGGCUAAACCCUAGAAGCUAGCCUAUGGUAUGAUUGUAUGUUAUGGUUGUUGUCCUACGGACUAAAACCCUUCGGUUUAUAUAGACACCGGAGAGGGUUAGGGUUACAGAAGGUCGGUUACAAAGGAGGAGAUAUCCAUAUCCGUAUUGCCUUGCUUGCCUUCUACGCCAAGUAGAGUCCCAUCCGGACACGAGACGAAGUCUUGUAUCUUCAUAGUCUAACAGUCCGGCCAAUGGAGAUAGUCCAGCUGUCCGGAGACCCCCUAAUCCAGGACUCCCUCACUCACUUUUAUCAUUAGUUACCUUGCUAUUUUUAUAUUUUCAGAUUACAAAUACCUUUAUCUACUAUCCAUAUACCACUUGUAUUACCAUCUCUUCGCCGAACUAGUGCACCUAUACAAUUUACCAUUGUAUUGGGUGUGUUGGGGACACAAGAGACUCUUUGUUAUUUGGUUGCAGGGUUGCUUGAGAGAGACCAUCUUCAUCCUAUGCCUCCUACGGAUUGAUAAACCUUAGGUCAUCCACUUGAGGGAAAUUUGUUACUGUCCUACAAACCUCUGCACUUGGAGGCCCAACAACAUCUACAAGAAGAAGGUUGUGUAGUAGACAUCAGUCUACCACUGGAAGAGGUCAUGCAACUUACUCCACUAUGCUAGAUCCCAUAAUAGCUUGUGGCUGCACACUGAAGUUUCAAGCAUGAAUAAUCUUAUGAUCCCUUUGACCUGGGUGGCGGACCAUAGGAGGAUCGCACGGUAUAACCCCGGGAUCUCCUAGGACAACACUGGUAUAACCCCAUGUGCCCACAAGCAAUCCACCCAGAUGUGUAUUAAAAUUGCCACCUUGAGUUUAACCAUUAAUUAACAAACUCACAUAUGUCAUGGAUACUCUCAAACCCAAACCACGUCUACGAGCAUAGCUUGGCAAUAUAAGCAUAACGUAAUAGUAACUCCCAAGGGUUUGAUAAUAAACAGGUAAUAGGUUCUACCUCAUCUGCUACUUCCCAAAACCCACAUGGUAAAACACAUCCUACUCAUGCAAUGUUUGAGGAUUGAAACUAAUGCAUAAAAACUGGGUAUGAAAGAGUAUGAUCAAUGUGUUACUUGCCUUGCUGACGAUCUGCAAAUCCUAAAGACUCGUGGUAGCACGCUUCGCACUCCGGGUAUUCUAUCGCAAACAAAUAAUAGCAUACAUAAGCAAUCAAGCAAAGAAGCAUGGGUAAAACUCAAAUAAGAAGAUCUAACCAGAAAGUGCAACUAAAGAACUCCGGUUUGCAAAAAGAAUCAAAUCAAACGGAGCAAGCAAACUCAAACUAGAAAGAAACAAAAUCCGAUACUAAUCUGGACUAAAGUCAAAUUUUACAGUACGAAAAUCUUGUUCAAGUUGGUUAAACAGAAAGAGGGCUUCGAGACGAAGAUAUAGGUGCAUGUUUCACCCGAUUUGGAUAAAUGAGCGAAAAAAUAAACUAAAACGAAGAUUAGUGCAGGAAUCACGAUCGAAAAUAAUCACGGAAAAACCCUGGAAAAAAUGAGACGAACAGGCUAAGGAACAAUACUUCAUUGUCUGCGGCUAACUAACGAACAACGUUCGUUAAAACGAAUGUACGGACGAACGUCCGCAAUUUAACUAAACUGAGGAAAAAUCGAACAAAACAGAUCUAAAUAAAAAAACCGAGAUCUAGGGUUUCGAAAAAAAUGGUGGUUUUUUCCCGAGAAAAACCGGACGGCGCCGGCUACCUCGGCGGUGGGGUUGGCGGCGGCAGCGGCGUGAGGCAGCGAAGGCUGGCGGCGGCGGCUGGCGCUGGGAUCAAGGCGGCGGCGCUAGGGUUAGGCGGGCGGGGCACGGCGCGACUUGGGCGUCGGGGCGGGCGGCUCGGGCGGGCUUUAAAGGCCUCCGGGAGCAAUGUCCUGGACGGACAUGGCUCGUUAGGUCAGUGACUUUUUUUAAAAUAAAUCCUGACACGGAAAAACAAAUAAAAGAAAUACUAAACUGAGUCCAAAUAUCCUGAAAUAAAUUUUCACGGUCCUCUAAUAAUAUUGCGCACAAAGUGAACAUUUAUUUCGGCCUCUAUUGCAAUUUUCAAAAACGCAUAUUUUUCCUAAUUCAAAUAAAAUAGCAACUAAAAUCCAAAUAAAAUUACUUAUUUGAUUUUAAUAUUUUUCCUCUGAUAUUUCAUUUAUUUUGGGGAAGUCAUAUUAUCUCCUCUCAUAUAUUUUAAUUAGAAAUAUUUUCAGAGAGGAAAAUAAUUAAAACCAAAAUGAUCCUUGUUUUUAUAUUCGAUAAAAUUCAAAUAUGAAAAACAUGAAAUCCCCAACUCUCUCUGUGGGUCCUUGAGUUGCUUAGAAUUUCGAGGAUCGCAAAGCAGAAUUGCAGAAAAAUAUGAUAUGCAUGAAUGAUCUAUGUAUAACAUUCCAAAUUGAAAAUUUGGGAUGUUACAAACCUACCCCCCUUAAGAUGAAUCCCGCCCUCGAGAUUCGGGUUGGCUAGAAAAUAGGUGUGGGUGGUCUUUGUGUAGAUCAUCCUCUCGCUCCUAGGUGGCUUCAUGCUCGGUAUGGUGGCUCCACUGAACUUUGCAAAACUUAAUAACCUUGCUGCGGGUAACUCGGCUGGCAAACUCGAGAAUCUUGACUGGUUUCUCCUCAUAUGUCAAAUCACUAUCCAACUGAAUUGCUUCCAGGGGCACUGUAUCUCUUAGAGGGAUAUCGGCCAUCUCUGCAUGGCACUUCUUCAACUGGGAAAUGUGAAACACGUCAUGAAGUCCUGACAGUCCUUCGGGUAACUCCAACUUGUAGGCUACCUCUCCCAUAUGUUCCAAAACUCGGUAUGGUCCUACAAAUCUCGGGGCUAACUUUCCCUUGACUCCAAAUCGCUUAACUCCUUAGAGCGGUGACACACAGUGCUCCCUCGGUGGUUUUGGUAAUUAAUGUCAACAUAUCUCUUGUUGGACUAACACUUUUGCCUAGUAUGUUUCAGAUAAGUUCAACAAUGGAGUGGCAUGGACUAGAGGAUGUGGAACCCCUUCAAGAUGCUAAGGACAAAGGAUUGGCUCAAGCCUCAAGAUCAAGACUCUACAUUUUCUAUUUUAGUGAUCCAAGAUCACAUUGAGUCUAUAGGAAAAGCCAAUACUAUCAAGAGGGGAUGAGGUGUUGCUUAAUGGCUUGCUUGCUCAAAGUGCUUAGUGAUAUGCUCCAAAACCUUCAACUACCUUCCCACAUCCACAUAUGACCUAAACCAAAAGUCAAACUCGGCCCCACCGAUUCUAUCUAUCCAGCGCCACCGAGUUUCAGAUGUCAUAGCCACUGCCACAAACCCUAGCAAAUUGGUUUCACUGAUAGGGAUCUCGGUCUCACCGAGAUGGGAUUGUAAUCUCUCUGUGUAUGUCCAUUACAAAAAUCGGUCUCACCGAGUUUGAGCAAUCGGUACUACCGAGAUUACAAUGCAAACCCUCUGGUUAGCUUAUUACCAAGAUCGGUCCCACCGAGUUUAUGUAAUCGGUCUCACCGAGUUUGCCUGACCAACUCUUUGGUUAGCUUAUUACCAAAAUUGGUCCCACCGAGUUUGUGUAAUCGGUCACACCGAGAUUACGUUAUGCCCUAACCCUAACCAUAUCGGUCCUACCGAGUUGCAUCUCAGUCCCACCGAAAAUCCUAACGGUCACUAGGUUUGCUGAAUCGGUCCGACCGAGUUUAACCAUUCGGUCCCACCAAAUUUGGCAAAUUGUGUGUAACAGUUAGAUUUUGUGUGGAGGCUAUAUAUACCCCUCCACCCACUCUUCAUUCAUGGAGAGAGCCAUCAGAACAUACCUACACUUCCAAUACACAUUUUCUGAGAGAGAACCACCUACACUUGUGUUGAGGUCAAGAUAUUCCAUUCCAAUCAUAUGAAUCUUGAUCUCUAGCCUUCCCCAAGUUGCUUUCCACUCAAAUCUUCUUUCCACCAAAUCCAAAUCCUGUGAGAGAGAGUUGAGUGUUGGGGAGACUAUCAUUUGAAGCACAAGAGCAAGGAGUUCAUCAUCAACACACCAUCUGUUACUUCUUGGAGAGUGGUGUCUCCUAGAUUGGCUAGGUGUCACUUGGGAGCCUCCGACAAGAUUGUGGAGUUGAACCAAGGAGUUUGUAAGGGCAAGGAGAUCGCCUACUUCGUGAAGAUCUACCGCUAGUGAGGCAAGUCCUUCGUGGGCGACGGCCGUGAUGGAAUAGACAAGGUUGCUUCUUCGUGGACCCUUCGUGGGUGGAGCCCUCCGUGGACUCGCGCAACCCUUACCCUCCAUGGGUUGAAGUCUCCAUCAAUGUGGAUGUACGAUAGCACCACCUAUCGGAACCAUGACAAAAACAUCCGUGUCUCCAAUUGCGUUUGAAUACUCCAAACCCUUCUCUUUACAUUCUUGCAAGUUGCAUGCUUUACUUUCCGCUGCUCAUAUACUCAUUGCAUGCUUUAUUGAUAUGUAUUGUGUUUGUUAAACGUGUGCUUAAACUCCACUUAAACUUAAGAAUAUUAAAAACUGCAACUUUUGGCACUUAGUGUCUAAUCACCCCCCUCUAGACACCUCUUCUCGAUCCUUUCAAUUGGUAUCAGAGCUUUGGUCUCCAUUGGCUUGGUUUAAACACCAUUGGAGGAAGAUGGAUGUGUCUACUUUGGGGAGUCUUAGACAUAGAGUGUCUAUUCUUGAUGGAGAGUAUUUUCAUGAGUGGAAAAAUGAAAUGCUUGAGAUUUUCAAUGAAUAUCAUUUGAACAGGUACAUUACUAGCCCUUGUGCACCUCAUGUUGAUCCUUUGCACCCUACCCUAGAUGAAGAUAUUGACAUGAUUCGCAAUCUUAGAACUGUUGAGCUCAUCAUUAGAGGCUUGCCUAGAAACUUGAUUAGAUGUUUGCCUACUCUCAAGUGUGCCUACACCAUAUGGAGUUUUCUUGAGGAACGAUUUCCAGAUUAUUCCUUGAAAAAUUUAGAUGAAAUUCUCCAUAAGUCUAUUGCCUUGAGUAAGAUGAACUCUAGUGAUCCUAGCCUUGGUGAUUGUCUAUUUGAGCUUACCAAUCUCAUGCGUGCUAAAGGAAAUGUUGGAAUCAUUAGCGAUAUCAUAUCCGAAGCUAUUAGAAUUCAUAAAGGUAACCAUUGUGAUGAUCAUUUAUCUAAUGAAUUACCCUCUCUAGGAAUUGAUCAAUCACAAGAUGAUGUUGAACAUGGAUACUAUGAUGAAGAUGAUGAUAGUGACUAUGAUCUUGAUGAUGCAAUGAGGAAUUUUGGUCUUAUGGCAAAUCUUCGCGGCUACAUGGCUGGAGGAAAGGAAUGGGUCCUUGAUAGUGGAUGUACUGAUCAUAUGACCGGAGAUAAAGAUAUGUUCCGUGAGCUGGCUGAAAACAACGGCCCUCGAAAAUAUGUCACUUUUGGUGAUAAUUCAAAGGGUAAGGUGGUUGGCCUUGGUAAGGUGGCCAUCUCACAUGAUAGCUCCAUACAAAAUGUCAUGCUCGUUGAAUCCCUUGGAUACAAUUUACUUUCAGUUUCUAGACUUGCGGAUUUCGGUUUUAAUGUCUUAUUCACUGAAGUAGAUUGCCAAGUGUUUCGUAGAGACAAUCAUAAAAUGGUCUUUACCGGUAUACGUAGAGGACAUCUUUACAUUGUUGAUUUCACUAAAAAGGCUCAACCUAGAACUUGCUUAAUUACCAAAUCUUCUAAAGGCUAGUUGUGGCAUAGAAGACUAGGUCAUGUUGGUAUGCGAAAUCUUGAUAAGCUUAUUAAAGGUGAUCAUAUCCUUGGAAUAAAAGAUGUCAUAUUUGACAAGGAUAGACUUUGUAGUGCUUGUCAAGCAGGGAAACAAGUUGGAGGAAGUCACCGCGCGAAGAACAUCAUGACCACAAGAAGACCACUCAAGCUACUUCACAUGGAUCUCUUUGGUCCAAAUGCCUACAAGAGUCUUGGUGGUAACUCAUUUGGUCUAGUCAUAGUUGAUGAUUUUUCAAGAUUUACGUGGGUGUUCUUUCUUGAUGACAAAUCGCAGGUCCAAAAGAUCUUCAAAAACUUUGCUAGGAAGGCCCAAAAUCAGUUUGACGUGAAGAUCAAGAAGGUUCGGAGCGACAAUGGAAUGGAGUUCAGGAACGCAAAUGUGGACACCUUUCUUGAUGAAGAAGGGAUUUCACACGAGUUCUCGGCUACGUACACACCUCAACAAAAUGGAGUUGUUGAAAGGAAGAACCAGACUCUUAUCGAGAUGGCAAGAACGAUGAUUGAUGAGUACAAAACGCCAAAGCACUUUUGGGCGGAAGCGGUUGAGAUAGCUUGUCAUGCAACAAAUCGCUUGUAUCUUCACAAGCUACUUGGCAAGACGGCAUACGAGCUCCUCACCGGUAACAAACCCCAAGUUGGAUACUUUCAAGUAUUCGGCUCAAAGUGCUACAUUCUUGAUAAGCAUCGUCAUUCUAAAUUUGCUCCUAAAUCUCAUGAAGGUUUCCUACUUGGUUAUGGCUCAAACUCUCACACUUACCGUGUCUACAACAAUUUCUCCCGAAAGGUUGAAGAGACGGUAGAUGUGAAGUUUGAUGAAUCUAACGGCUCGCAAGUAGAGCAAUUGCCGAUUGAUGUAGGAGACAAAGACCCUUCGGAAGCAAUUCAAGACUUGUCCAUUGGCAAGAUUCGUCCAACGAAAGUGAAGGAGAGUAUCUCGUCCGUCCAAGUGGAAGCUUCUACCUCACGACAAGGUGAACCAAGAGUUGAUACGGAAGCAUCCACAAGUGGGACACGCCAAGAUGAAGAAAACGAGGAAGCGCACCAAGAUGAACAUCAACAACCUCCUUCUCCACCACGACAAGAGAACGACAACGUCAACAAUGAAGAAGGCCAAGAAGAAGCACAAGAUGAAGAGGAUGUUCCACCAUGACCCAAGCAAAAGCUUUCACGAGUUCGAGCAAGAAUUGCUAAGGAUCAUCCCGUCGAGCAAAUCUACAAUGAUAUCCAAACCGGGAGAAUCACUCGCUCUAAAACUCGUUUAGCUAACUUUUGUGAACAUUACUCAUUCAUCUCUAGCAUUGAACCUAUGAAGGUUGAAGAAGCAUUGGAGGAUCCGGACUGGAUAAACGCUAUGCAUGAAGAGCUACACAACUUUGAGAGAAAUCAAGUGUGUACAUUGGUCGAGAAGCCCGACAACAACCACAACAUCAUUGGUACCAAAUGGGUGUUUCGCAACAAGCAAGAUGAAGAUGGACAAGUGGUUUGCAACAAAGCACGUCUCGUCGCCCAAGGCUACACACAAGUUGAAGGUAUGGACUAUGGUGAGACAUAUGCUCUCAUUGCUAGACUUGAGUCCAUUCGCAUCCUACUUGCUUAUGCUAAUCACCACGAUAUCACCUUGUACCAAAUGGACAUUAAAAGUGCUUUUCUAAAUGGAAAAAUCGAGGAGGAAGUUUAUGUUAAGCAACCUCCCGGCUUCGUCAAUCCUAAGAAACCUAAUCAUGUUUACAAACUUUACAAAGCCCUUUAUGGUCUUAAACAAGCUCCUAGAGCAUGGUAUAAAUGCUUGACCAAGUUCCUUAUUGAAAAAGGCUUUGAAAUUGGUAAAACUGAUUCUACUCUUUUUACUAAAAGGGUUAAUGGAGAACUAUUUGUGUGCCAAAUUUAUGUUGAUGAUAUCAUAUUUGGUUCAACUAACCCUCAUUUUAGUGAGAAGUUUGGAAAGCUAAUGUCAGAGAAGUUUGAGAUGUCUAUGAUGAGUGAACUCAAAUUCUUUCUUGGUUUGCAAAUCAAGCAAACUAAGGAAGGUACCUUUGUCUCUCAAACGAAGUACACCAAGGACUUAUUCAAGAAGUUCAAUAUGCAAGUAUGCAAAGGUAUGACUACACCCAUGCCUACUAGUGGACAUCUUGAUUUGACCAAAGAUGGUGAACCGGUUGAUCAAAAGGUUUCUCGCUCUAUGAUUGGUUCAUUGUUAUAUCUAUGUGCCUCUCGUCCCGAUAUUAUGCUAAGUGUGUGCAUGUGUGCACGAUAUCAAGCUGCUCCUAAAGAAUGUCAUCUUAAGGCUGUGAAAAGGAUAGUGAGAUACCUAAUCCAUACAGCAAAUUUUGGCAUUUGGUAUCCUAAGAGGUCCUCUUUUGAUCUUGUUGGCUACUCCGAUUCGGACUAUGCCGGAGACAAGGUUGAUAGAAAAUCCACUUCAGGUACUUGUCAAUUCCUUGGUAGAUCUCUUGUGUCUUGGUCUUCCAAGAAACAAAACUCGGUAUCCUUAUCCACCGCCGAAGCGGAAUACAUUGCCGCUGGUUCAUGUUGUGCUCAAUUACUUUGGAUGACCCAAACUCUUAAAGAUUAUGGGAUAUAUGUGAAACAUGUUCCAUUGCUAUGUGAAAAUGAAAGUGCUAUUAAGAUUGCUCACAAUCCCAUGCAACAUUCUCGAACUAAGCAUAUUGAAGUUCGUCAUCAUUUCAUUUGAGAUCAUGUUGCAAAAGGGGACAUUAACCUUAAGCAUGUUCGCACCGAUAAGCAAUUGGCGGAUAUAUUCACUAAACCACUUGAUGAGAAAGUGUUUUGCAGGUUGAGAGGUGAAUUGAAUAUCAUUGAUGCUUCAAACUUGGAGUAGGAACUCCAUUUGAUACAUGCGGGGCAUGAGCCUAUGACUAAUCCUCGAUAUUUCUCUUAUGAUGCUAUUCAUAUGUCUUGGAUAUAUUUGUACCUUGCAUGUUAUCUAACUCAUGUAGGUACUUGGUUGAAUCUAAAUCUAUGAGAUUGCUACUCACUCACAUCUUGAGAAAUCUCUACAUCACCAAGUCUCUACACAAUGGUUGUUGAAGACAAGGAAGCACGAAACCAUUCAAACAUAUCCUUUGGCAAAUUCUAUGUUGAGUCUCAUGAUUGUCAUUUUGGAUACACAAGUGCUCUUCCUUGCAAAGCUAACCCAUGUAGGUAAAUGAACUCAAACUCCAAGUGGUACUCCCAACCCUUAAUGAACUACAUCAACCUUGAGCAACCCACACAAGUUCAACUACAUGAGCAAGAUCAACACCACCACCCAAGGUAUGUUAUUCCAUCUUAGAGAAGCUUUACUCCAAGUCAUGAGUCAAAGCAACUCGACAAGAUGUGAAUACAUCAAAAGGCUUAAACGAAAAAUGGUAACCCCAUUUUGAGCUUAAACGAUGAGUAUGACCUAUGAUCAAGUGCUCUCACUUGACUCCUAAGUCAAUAUACUCUAACAUAGGUGACUUUGUCGCCGACCAUCUCUAGAUGAAGUUCUCGUGUGUGUCUCCGUGCUUUUGUCUCUUGCAUAUUUGUUUUCCCUUUCAAAAAAAACUUCAUCUAGAACUUUUAGUUUCUUUUCUUUCCUUUUUGUUCUGCAUUUUCUGCAUCCAAUUCAUUGCGAAUCUUUCAGUAAAUUCCUUGCAUAUCCUUGUGAGAUCUUACUUGUCUAGUGAGCUGAGGUGACUAGUGGUUUCACUCUAAUGAACUCGGUCACACCGGUUUGUUCUCUUCGGCCCAACUAAAAUCUUUUGGUGCAACCGAAGCACACAACUCGGAGUCACCGAUUCCACCACAGGAAAACCAACUUGCCACUUAUUCCUGAUUUCUGUUUGCUCCAGCUCCACUCAAUGAUUCUUGUCCUCUACCAACAUCAUAUUAGGCAUGCUGCUUUGCUCUGUGAUUCGAGGACAAACCCAUUUGUAUCACAUGUCCAGAAGAGCCCUUAGAAAUUGAUGUCAAAGGGGGAGAGAGAGAUCACAUCAAAACUUAAUCCUUCCUAUAGGGGGAGAAAGAGAGAAUACUCAGGGGGAGAAAGUUUCUCAACUAGGAGAAAGUAAUAUCAUCAAAGACCCCAGAUGCUUGGUGUUCAAGAGGAGAGGUGUCACAUGUCUUUAAGAGGGGAAAGACAUGUUUGGUUGCUUGCUUUAGCUCAAGCUCUGUUGUUUCCUUUUUUGUUGCUCUGAUUUUCUGUUCCCUAUCUUCUCCCAAUAUCCCAUGCAGAUUCUGGGGGAGCAAGACAUCUAAGGGAAGGAAAUCUCUGAUUUUAUUGCAUAUCUUUACCUUUGGGGACAUGUCUAUAUCCAAUGUGGUACUUAGUACUCACUCUACAUGUCAUCCCAGUCUUGGUUCUCUUGUGGUUUCUCUUGCUUGCUCUAGUCAGUAGGUGCAUCUGUGUUAUUUAACCUUGUUUGCGUAGGUUCAUCCCAUCCUAAGCCAACUCAAGACCACAAGGUAAGUAUAUGCAUCACAGUCAUGUGAAUGAGAAGUUCUUGCUGAUGUACAUACUGUUUGCAAGAAGGACUCAUGAGCAUGAAGGUACAUUUUUCACAUUCACAUCAUUUGCUCUGAUGCAUAUAGCCAAGAUACAUGUAACACAUUGCUUACUCUGUCAUGUUUACGCAUUCACAUGCUCCUAUAUUCAAUAUUCACAUGAUUGCAUACAUGUAGGGGGAGCCUAUGCAUGUUACAUGUCUUUUCAAAGCUUUACUUGCUAUUCUCUAUAUCUUUAUCUAAAGCUUUGAUGUAUGUUGUCAUCAAUUACCAAAAAGGGGGAGAUUGAAAGCACAAGUGCUCCCUGGGUGGUUUUGGUAAUUAAUGUCAACAUAUCUCUUGUUGGACUAACACGUUUACCUAGUAUGUUUCAGAUAAGUUCAACAAUGGAGUGGCAUGGACUAGAGGAUGUGGAACCCCUUCAAGAUGCUAAGGACAAAGGAUUGGCUCAAGCUUCAAGAUCAAGACUCUACAUUUUCUAUUUUAGUGAUCCAAGAUCACAUUGAGUCUAUAGGAAAAGCCAAUACUAUCAAGAGGGGAUGAGGUCUUGCUUAAUGGCUUGCUUGCUCAAAGUGCUUAGUGAUAUGCUCCAAAACCCUCAACUACCUUCCCACAUCCACAUAUGACCUAAACCAAAAGUCAAACUCGGCCCCACCGAUUCUAUCUAUCCGGCGCCACCGAGUUUCAGAUGUCAUAGCCACUGCCACAAACCCUAGCAAAUCGGUUUCACCGAUAGGGAUCUCGGUCUCACCGAGAUGGGAUUGUAUUCUCUCUGUGUAUGUCCAUUACCAAAAUCGGUCUCACCGAGUUUGAGCAAUCGGUACUACUGAGAUUACAAUGCAAACCCUCUGGUUAGCUUAUUACCAAAAUUGGUCCUACCGAGUUUGUGUAAUCGGUCUCACCGAGUUUGCCUGACCAACUCUUUGGUUAGCUUAUUACCAAAAUCGGUCCCACCGAGUUUGUGUAAUCGGUCACACCGAGAUUACGCUAUGCCCUAACCCUAACCAUAUCGGUCCUACCGAGUUGCAUCUCAGUCCCACCGAAAAUCCUAACGGUCACUAGGUUUGUUGAAUCGGUCCGACCGAGUUUAACCAUUCAGUCCCACCGAAUUUGGAAAAUUGUGUGUAACAGUUAGAUUUUGUGUGGAGGCUAUAUAUACCCCUCCACCCACUCUUCAUUCGUGGAGAGAGCCAUCAGAACAUACCUACACUUCCAAUACACAUUUUCUGAGAGAGAACCACCUACACUUGUGUUGAGGUCAAGAUAUUCCAUUCCAAUCAUAUGAAUCUUGAUAUCUAGCCUUCCCCAAGUUGCUUUCCACUCAAAUCUUCUUUCCACCAAAUCCAAAUCCUGUGAGAGAGAGUUGAGUGUUGGGGAGACUAUCAUUUGAAGCACAAGAGCAAGGAGUUCAUCAUCAACACACCAUCUGUUACUUCUUGGAGAGUGGUGUCUCCUAGAUUGGCUAGGUGUCACUUGGGAGCCUCCGACAAGAUUGUGGAGUUGAACCAAGGAGUUUGUAAGGGCAAGGAGAUCGCCUACUUCGUGAAGAUCUACCGCUAGUGAGGCAAGUCCUUCGUGGGCGACGGCCGUGAUGGAAUAGACAAGGUUGCUUCUUCGUGGACCCUUCGUGGGUGGAGCCCUCCGUGGACUCGCGCAACCCUUACCCACGGUGGGUUGAAGUCUCCAUCAAUGUGGAUGUACGAUAGCACCACCUAUCGGAACCACGACAAAAACAUCUGUGUCUCCAAUUGCGUUUGAAUACUCCAAACCCUUCUCUUUACAUUCUUGCAAGUUGCAUGCUUUACUUUCCGCUGCUCAUAUACUCAUUGCAUGCUUGCUUGAUAUGUAUUGUGUUUAUUAAACUUGUGCUUAAACUCCACUUAAACUUAAGAAUAUUAAAAACUGCAACUUUUGGCACUUAGUGUCUAAUCACCCCCCCUCUAGACACCUCUUCUUGAUCCUUUCACCAGUCCACCAGAAAUGCUCCCGCAAAUCCAAAUUCAUCUUGGUGUUUCCGGGGUGUAUCGAGUAUGGCGAGUCAUGAGCUUCCUGAAGUAUCAACUUCCUGAUCUCUGCAUUAUUUGGCACAUAUACACGGUCCUCAAACCACAAGGUGUCGUGCUCAUCCUCACGAAAACCUUUGGCUUUACCUUCACUCAUCUUCUCUUUUAUCUCGGCAAUUUCUUUGUCAUCCUUCUGGGCUUCUCGAAUCUUUCCCAACAAUGUAGACUGAACUUCCAUUGCUGCAACAAAACCUCUAGUAAUAAUCUCCAAAGGAAGCUCCCUGAGAUCUUCUGUUAACUCCUUUGGCAAACCUCCUGUUACUAAGGUAUUGGCAUAACUCUUCUGGCUCAAAGCAUCUGCUACGACAUUGGCCUUGCCUGGGUGAUAGUGCAACUUCAUAUCGUAAUCUUUUAUAAGCUCCAACCAUCUCUUUUGCCUGAGAUUCAACUCCUUUUGUGUGAAAAUGUACUUCAAACUCUUAUGAUCUGUGUACACAUCACAAUGAUUUCCCAUAAGAAAGUGUCUCCAGGUCUUGAGUGCAUACACUACAGCUGCUAACUCCAAGUCAUGUGUGGCAUAAUUCAACUCAUGCGGUCGAAGUUGACGUGAGGCAUAUGAACCAACUCUUCCAUAUUGCAUAAGUACACCUCCAAGUCCUAAGCGAGAUGCGUCGCAAUACACUUGGAAAUCCUUGCGUAUAUCUGGCAGAAUCAGCACUGGGGCUGUAGUCAAACAUUUCUUUAACUCCUGAAAACUUGCCUCACAUUCAUCUGUCCAUUUGAACUUAGUGUCCUUCUUCAACAACUCCGUCAUGGGCUUCGCAAUCUUAGAGAAUUCUCAGUGAAUCUCCGAUAAUAUCCCGCGAGUCCCAGAAAACUACGGAUCUCUGCAACUGAGGUGGGUGCCAACCACUCAGUGACUAACUUAACCUUGGUGGGGUCUACUGUUAUACCUUCUCCUGAUAUAAUAUGUCCAAGGAAUCCAACUUCCUUCAACCAAAACUCACAUUUGUUGAACUUGGCGUAUAACUGAUGUUCCCUGAGCUUCUCGAGAACUAAAUGCAAAUGCUCCUUGUGCUCCUCUUCAUUCUUCGAGUAUACCAGAAUAUCAUCAAUAAACACCACAACAAAGUUAUCCAAGAACUCCAUGAAUACCUUGUUCAUCAUACUCAUGAAAUAGGUAGGGGCGUUAGUCAAUCCGUAUGACAUAACCGUGUACUCAUAUAGCCCGUACCUUGUGGUGAAGGCUGUCUUAGGUAUAUCUUGUUCUCGAAUCUUCAGCUGGUGGUAUCCUGAUCGAAGAUCGAUCUUGGAAAAGACUUUUGCUCCUUGCAGCUGGUCAAACAGAUCAUUGAUCAUCGGCAGUGGGUAUUUGUUCUUGAUUGUUACUUCAUUCAAUGCCCGAUAAUCAACAACCAUUCUCAGAGACUUAUCCUUCUUCUCAACCAGGACUGGGGCUCCCCAUGGUGACGAACUUUGUCGAAUGUAACCUUUCUCCAAUAACUCCUUGAUCUGCUUCUUAAUCUCCUCCAGAUCAUUUGCGGGCAUCCUGUAUGGUCUCUUUGAUAUUGGUCCGGUGCCUGGCAAUAACUCUAUCAAAAAUGCAAUGUCUCGAUCUGGGGGCAUGCCUGGUAGUACCUAUGAAAAUACAUCUGGGUAAUCCUUCACUACAGGCACUUCUUCCUAAACAACUCCCGUGAGAGAAUUUACGUGAGUACUCUUAGGAGUAUGCCUGGAUACAUACUUAAUCCUUUUUCCCUCCGGGGUGGUGAGUAGAAUUGACCUACUAGCGCAAUCAAUGUUUCCUCCAUACUUCGAUAACCAAUCCAUCCCCAGUAUCACAUCCAAUCCUUGGGAUUCCAAAAUUAUUAGGUCUGAGGGGAAAACAUGGCUGCCAAUGGUUAAAGGUAACCGGUCGCACCAUCGGCUGGCCAUAUACUCUGCACCUGGUGAGAUCACUAGCAGGCGUGUCCUAAAGGCUAAGGUGGGUAACUUAAACUUGUCCACAAAUCCCCUUGAAAUUUAUGAAUGUGAUGCACCAGUAUCAAAAAAGAACGAGAGCGGUAAAUGACUUAACCAAAAACUUACCGAUAACUGCAUCUGGCUGCUCUUCAACCUCCUCCACGUUCACGUGGUUCACUUGUCCCCUGUUGAAAGGGUUGGGCUUCUUCCCAGAGCUUCCAUUACCAUUGCCAUUCUUCAACUCUGGACAAUCAUUGGCGUAGUGUCCAGUAUUCCCGCACUUGAAACAGGUAAUGUGACUCUGGUCCUUCUUGGCGGGUGUUGCUGGGUUAGAGCAGUUCUGAUUGCUGCUCGCUCCAUUCCCAUUCCCACUCUUUGGGCCACUGUGGUUAUGAGAACUUCCUCCAUUGUGAGUGUGGCCUCCAUGGUUAUGGGUAUAUCCUCCCGAGUUCGGGGUGAAACGGGGCUUCUGCUGAGCUCCAGAAUUGUACUUCCCUUGUCCAUACUUCCUCUUGCGGCUCUCAAUCUGCUGAUGCUUCCCUUCAAUCAUAGGAGACUUAUCUACCGACUCCCAGUAGUUGUUAAAUGUUGCCACCAUUAACUACAUGCUCAUCUCAUCAUUCAGCCCUUCCAUAAACUUCUCCUGCUUCACGGCAUCCGUGGCCACAUCAUCUGGGGCAUAGCGAGAUAACUUACUAAACUCGUCCACGUACUGAGCUACAGUAUGAUUCCCCUAGCGUAAGUUGUGAAACUCACGCUUCUUCAUGCUCACAGCUCUAGUUGAGACAUGGGUUGUGCUGAAAGCUUGCUGAAACUGCUCCCAAGUGACAUUGGCUAUAGGAAAAGUGGUUGUGUAAUUUUCCCACCAUGCGGCUGCGGGUCCAUCCAAUUGGUGUGCGGCAAAACGCACCUUCUCAGCAUCUGUGCAACCGGCAGUGGUUAACUCCCUUCCAAUCCUGCGUAGCCAGUCAUCCGCAACUAUGGGCUCAGUGCUACUGGAAAACACCGGCGGCUGUAACCUCAGAAAACAGGCUAAGUUGUCAACUGGAGGUGGUGGCGAAGGGUUGUUGUUGUUGUUGUUGUUGCCUUGGUUCUAAACUAACAACUGCAUCAAGGCAUUCUGCUGCUGGAUCAACUGAGUGAGCUCCUGUGGGAAGACAAAUCCGGGGUCACGUCUUGGAGGCAUCUGAUUGGUUUAGAGGGAAGAGACUAGAAUAGAAUGAGGUCUAAGGAGAAAGCACUACCCAUAUGCACAUGAGAUAAACACAAUCAUAUCAUAUCACUCAAUCAAUCAAGCAAGGGAAUACAAUCGAUCUAACUAUCGUUACAGUGCUCGGACUAUUUUAUAUACAUGGGGAAACACUACUGAUCAUAUGGUGGUCUACUAGAAAUUUUGAUCGGUGGAAGACUCCAUGAUAUCCGCUCCAGCUUCGUCUUCAUAGUCAUCAUCACUACCAUCAGGGUCGGAGUCGGUGUCGUCGAUGAUGAUGUAGUCUUCAGAAUGAAUCUCCUUAGGUUCGUCGUCUUCUCCUCCUGGUGCGGGGUCUCCCAUGAAAACUCCUAGCUUCCUCAUCAGGUCGUCAUUCAUCUCCACAAGUAUCGUCAUUUCCUCCUCAUAACCAUCGCGUGUAGACUUGAGUUCCUCUUCUAGCUCUGUGAUCCUGGUCAUUGCCUUCUUCAAAUCUAUCAUGCUUGCGCACAUCUGGUUCUCCUGGCGACGAAUGUGACGGUUUAACUCCUGGAUGAAUGUUGCAAUGGACCUGUCCUUCCUGGUGCUGAUCAUCUCCCAUUGCUCAUCUCGGCGCCCACAUAUCUGGUAGAUAGUGUCCUUAAGCUCCUUGUGAUAAACUUCGCCAAUGCGUCUCAUGGCGAUGUGGGCUGCCAUGCUAUUUCCUAGACUCCAAGUUGGUGCAUCAAAGGAAAAAUCUAUGGACUCAGUGACUGACGUGAAUGUCCUUCCUGGAACUUGAACUCGAAUCAUCCAACGCUCCUAUUCUGGUAAAGUGGCGGUGUAGGUCCCGGUGAAGCUUGGUAUUCCGAUGUUCAGAUACCCAGUGACUUCCUUCAAGUGUCGUCCAAAAGGGGUGUCUUCAUUUGGCUGUGUAAACUUGUUCCUUGAGUCCGCCAUCAUAAAGAGUAGAAAACAGAGAGGAGUCUGAAAUGAGUAGAGAAGAGUGAUCUAUGGCUCAUCUUAGUGGUCGUGUCCUACAUUCAACAUGUGCUCUGAUACCAUCUUGUAGUAACCCGACCUCAGACGGUCAAGUCUCUGUGCUUCAGUGUCAUCCCUAGAUCGGUAAUGCUGACACACACAGUACUCGAAGGAUUUAUAAUAGAGUAGCAAUCACACACUUAUUACAUUGAAUGUCUCAAAAGAGAACUUAUUACAAUAAAUAUGGCUUAAGGCCAUCUAAAUAAGAUAACAGCGGAAGACUUGGAAUAUAAAGUGAGUCCAUCAACUCCAACGGCAUAGCUGAGUGCACGACAACCGACCUAUGGCACCUUACUCGUCGUCUGAAAAGUCUGCAACAUGAUACGUUGCAGCCCGAAAACGGGUCAACACAUGGAAUAUGCUGGCAUAGUAACACAAUAGAGCAAAGAACAGAUAAAUGCUAUCACUACAUGCAUAUAUGGCUGGUGGAGGCUCUAUAGUUACAAUGUUUUUGCGAAAAGCCAAUUUUUCCCUACAACAAAGGAAUAUAUUUUAUUUAACUAUCAUGGUAGUUGAAACAACAUUGAGAAUGGUACCCCCAUCUCAAUCCCAAUUAAAAGUAAUUAUCAACCCAACAAAUUAAUUUAAAGUGAUGAGAUCCAUAUGAUAAUCCAAAAACCAGAUACUCAAGAUGUCCAUAACCGGGGACACGGCUAACCAUGAUUAGUUUGUACACUAUGCAGAGUUUUGCGCACUUUUCCCCACAAGACUCGAUCUCCUCCGUUGGAUUUCUUGCACUAAAUGGUGUUUAAGAAACGGAUGACUGAGACACAGUCUUUCAGAAGCAUUAACUCUAACCCCGGGUAGACCGUACCAACCUACAUCCCCUACAUCUGCUAGUCUACCACUAGAAGAGGUCAUGCAACUUACUCCACUAUGCUAGAGCCCAUAAUAGCUUGUGGCUGCACACGGAAGUUUCAAGCAUGAAUAAUCUUAUGAUCCCUUUGAGCCUGGGUGGCGGACCAUAGGAGGAUCGCACGGUAUAACCCCGGGAUCUCCUAGGACAACACUGGUAUAACCCCAGGUGCCCACAAGCAAUUCACCCAGAUGUGUAUUAAAAUUGCCACCUUAAGUUGAACCAUUAAUUAACAAACUCACAUCUGUCAUGGCUACUCUCAAACCCAAACCACGUCUACGAGCAUAGCUUGGCAAUAUAAGCAUAACGCAGUAGUAACUCCCAAGGGUUUGAUAAUAAACAGGUAAUAGGUUCUACUUCAUCUGCUACUUCCCAAAACCCACAUGGUAAAACACAUCCUAAUGCAAUGUUUGAGGAUUGAAACUAAUGCAUAAAAACUGGGUAUGAAAGAGUAUGAUCAAUGUGUUACUUGCCUUGCUGACGAUCUGCAAAUCCUAAAGACUCGUAGUAGCACGCUUCGCACUCCGAGUAUUCUAUCGCAAACAAACAAUAGCAUACAUAAGCAAUCAAGCAAAGAAGCACGGGUAAAACUCAAAUAAGAAGAUCUAACCAGAAAGUGCAACUAAAGAACUCCGGUUUGCAAAAAGAAUCAAAUCAAACGGAGCAAUGAAACUGAAACUACGAAAGAAAGAAGAUCCGAUUACUAAUCUGGACUAAAGUCAAAUUUUUAGAGUACCAAAAUCUUGUUCAAGUUGGUUAAACGAAAAGAGAGCUUCGAGACGAAGAUAUAGGUGCUUGUUUCAUCCGAUUUGGAUAAAUGAGCGAAAAGAUAAACUAAAACGAAGAUUAGGGCAGGAAUCACGAUUGAAAAUAAUCGCAGAAAAACCCUGGAAAAAAAUGAGACGAACAGCCUAACGAAGGAACGUUCAUUGUCUGCGGCUAACUGACGAACAGCGUUCGUUAAAAUGAACGUCCGUUAUUUAACUAAACCGAGGAAAAACCAACAAAACUGAUCUAAAUAAAAACCGAGAUCUAGGGUUUCGAAAAAAACGUCGGUUUUUCCCGAGAAAAACCGGACGGCGGAGGGGUCGGCGGCGGCGGGGCGGCGACGGCGGACGGCGGCGGCGCGAGGCGGCGAAGGCUCGCGGCGGUGGCUGGCGCUGGGAUCGAGGCGGUGGCGCUAGGGUUAGGCGGGCGCGACGCUGCGCGACUUGGGCCUCGGGGCGGCUGGCUCGGGCGGGCUUUAAAGGCCUUCGGGCGAAGUAUCCUGGAUGGACACGGCCUGUUAGGUCGGUGACUUUUUUUAAAUAAAUCCUGACUCGGAAAAACAAAUAAAAGAAAUACUAAACGGAGUCCAAAAAUCCUGAAAUAAAUUUUCACGGUCCUUUAAUAAUAUUGCGGACAAAGUGAACAUUUAUUUGGGCCUCUAAUGCAAUUUUGAAAAACGCAUAUUUUUUCUAAUUCAAAUAAAAUAGCAACAAAAACCCAAAUAAAAUUACUUAUUUGAUUUUAAUAUGUUUUCCUCUGAUAUUUCAUUUAUUUUGGGGAAGUCAUAUUAUCUCCUCUUAUAUAUUUUAAUUAGAAAUAUUUUCGGAGGGGAAAAUAAUUAAAAUCAAAAUGAUCCUUGUUUUGAUAUUUGAUAAAAUUAAAAUAUGAAAAACAUGAAACCCCCAACUCUCUCCGUGGGUCCUUGAGUUGCUUAGAAUUUCGAGGAUCACAAAGCAAAAAUGCAGAAAAAUAUGAUAUGCAUGAAUGAUCUAUAUAUAACAUUCCAAAUUGAAAAUUUGAGAUGUUACAGGUGCAUACUUAGGGUGAACACUUAUACCUUGAAAUUUAGUGAGAGAACAUAUUAUAAUGCUACCGUUGUACUAAGCAAAAUAAGAUGCAUAAAGGAUAAACAUCACAUGCAAUCAAUAUAAGUGAUAUGAUAUGGCCAUCAUCAUCUGGUGCCUUCGAUCUCCAUCUCCAAAGCACCGUCAUGAUCAGCAUUGUCACCAGCUUGACACCUUGAUCUCCAUCGAAACAUCGUUGUCGUCUCGGCAACUAUUGCUUCUACGACUAUCACUACCACUCAGUGAUAAAGUAAAGCAAUUACAUGGCGAUUGCAUUUCAUACAAUAAAGCGACAACCAUAUGGCUCCUGCCAGUUGCCGAUAACUGUUACAAAACAUGAUCAUCGCAUACAACAAAUUAUAUAUCAUCACGUCUUGACCAUAUCACAUCACAGCAAGCCCUGCAAAAACAAGUUAGACGUCCUCUACUUUGUUGUUGCAAGUUUUACGUGGUUGCUAUGGGCUUCUAGCAAGAACCGUUCUUACCUACGCAUCAAAACCACAACGAUUUUUCGUCAAGUAUGCUGUUUUAACCUUCAACAAGGACCGAGCGUAGUCAAACUCGAUUCAACUAAAACUGGAGAAACAGACACCCACUAGCCACCUGUGUGUGAAGCACGGGGGUAGAACCAGUCUCAUGAAAGCGGUCAUGUAAUGUCGGACUGGGCCGCUUCAUCCAACAAUACCGUCGAAUCAAAGUAUGACAUGCUGGUAAGCAGUAUGACUAUUAUUGCCCAUAACUCUUUGUGUUCUACUCGUGAAUAUAACAUCUACGCAUAGACCUGGCUCGGAUGCCACUGUUGAGGAACGUAGUAUUUCAAAAAAAAUCCUACGAUCACGCAAGAUCUAUCUAGGAGAAGCAUAGAAACGAGUGGGGAAAGUGUGUCCACGUACCCUCGUAGACCUAAAACGGAAGCGUUUAGUAACGCGGUUGAUGUAGUCGAACGUCUUCGCGAUCCAACCAAUCAAGUACCGAAUGCACGGCACCUUCGCGAUCUGCACACGUUCAGCUCGGUGACGUCCCUCGUACUCUUGAUCCAGCUGAGGCCGAGGGUGAGUUCCAUCAGCAGGACGGUGUGUUGACAGUGAUGAUGAAGUUACCGACGCAGGGCUUCGCCUAAGCACUACGACAAUAUGAGUGAGGUGUAAAACUGUGGAGGAGGGCACCGCACACGGCUAAAGAUCAACUUGUGUCUAUGGGGUGCCCCCUCCCCCGUAUAUAAAUCAGGGGAGGAGGAGGGCCGGCCACAAGGGACGCACCCAAGGGGGGAUUCCUACUCCUAGUAGGAGUAGGUUUCCCCCUUUCCUAGUCCAAGUAGGAGAAGAAGGAAGGAGAGGAAGAAGAGAAGGAAAGGGGGCCAGCCCCCCUAGCCCUUAUCCAAUUCGGUUUGGGCUAGGGGCGCGCGCCAUACCUUGGCCUGCCUACUCUCUUCCACCACUAGGCCCACGAGGCCCAAUAACUUCCCGGGAGGGGUGGGGUUCCGGUAACCCCCGGUACUCCGAAACUUAUCCGAAACGACCCGAACCAUUCCGGUGUCCGAAUGUAGCCUUCCAAUAUAUGAAUCUUUAUGUCUCGACCAUUUCGAGACUCCUCGUCAUGUUCGCGAUCUCAUCUGGGACUCCGAACAACCUUCAGUACAUCAAAUCACAUAAACUCAUAAUAUGAAUCGUCAUCAAACGUUAAGCGUGCGGACCCUACGGGUUUGAGAACUAUGUAGACAUGACCGGGACACAUCUCCGGUCAAUAAACAAUAGCGGAACCUGGAUGCUCAUAUUGGCUCCUACAUAUUCUACGAAGAUCUUUAUCGGUCAAACCGCACAAGAACAUACGUUGUUCCCUUUAUCAUCGGUAUGUUACUUGCCCGAGAUUCGAUUGUCGGUAUCAUUAUACCUAGUUCAAUCUCGUUACUGGAAAAUCUCUUUACUCGUUCCGUAAUGCAUCAUCCCGCAACUAACUCAUUAGUCACAUUGCUUGCAAGACUUAUAGUGAUGUACAUUACCAAGAGGGCCCAGAGAUACUUCUCCGACAAUCAGAGUGACAAAUCCUAAUCUCGAUCUAUGCCAACUCAACAAACACCAUCGGAAACACCUGUAGAGCAUCUUCAUAAUCACCCAGUUACGUUGUGACGUUUGAUAGCACACGAAGUGUUCCUCCAGUAUUCGGGAGUUGCAUAAUCUCAUAGUCAUAGGAACAUGUAUAAGUCAUGAAGAAAGCAAUAGCAAUAAACUAAACGAUCAUAGUGCUAAGCUAACGGAUGGGUCUUGUCCAUCACAUCAUUCUCUAAUGAUGUGAUCCCGUUCAUCAAAUGACAACACAUGUCUAUGGCUAGGAAACUUAACCAUCUUUGAUUAACGAGCUAGUCUAGUAGAGGCAUACUAAGGACACUAUGCUUGUCUAUAUAUUCACACAUGUACUAAGUUUCCGGUUAAUACAAUUCUAGCAUGAAUAAUAAACAUUUAUCAUGAUAUAAAGAAAUAUAAAUAACAACUUUAUUAUUGCCUCUAGGGCAUAUUUCCUUCAGAAUGUUGAUGUUUUUCUCCAUAAAAUUGGUCAACCUAUAUGAAGUUUGACUUCAGACAAAUUUCAUAUGUAGAGUAAGAAGGACCAAAGAGAGUAUCAAUGAUGUACUCCAUUCACCGCAUCACCAACAAUUUGAAAAUAACUUUAAUUACGAUUAAUCUUGCAAAUAACAUUCAUUGUAUUAAUUACAUUUAAUUUCAUAAUGGCGAGGUAUCAACUCACACAAGUACCAUGAAGCAAGUCAUAUUUUGGGCGAGAAAAUUUCUUAUAUAUUUAUUCAUAAUGCCAUGGCAGUAAAAGAACACAGAAAUAAUAAAAAUACAUUCAUAUUCGUAGACCAUCUAAACUUUAUUGAUAUCCGUAUUAAUUACAUGCAAUAGAAAAAUGUAUUCAUAUCCGUAUUAAUUACAUGACCGUUUAUAUGUUUAUGUGCAUCGUUGCAUGCAAUAGAAAAUUAAGUUGCUCAUGAAAAGGUAAAAAUGCACCGCUUCUAAUCCUAUCGAAAGUAAAACGAUAACGUUACCUGGUGAACAGUCGCCAGGAACACCCGUCCAGCAAGCGACCCUAUUAUCUAUCUUAGGGGUGUUGGCGGUGGGGUGCAGGUUCGUCGGAAAAAAUGGUUCAUGGCUGAGUUAGAGAGAUGGUCUGAGGCGAUGGGGGCACAGCCGUGGGCGGUGGUUGGGGGAGGGCGAGGCUGGAGCGGGAGCGCCGCCGCCACAAGCGUCGGCAGCACACAGUUAGUCUGAUGGUAGAUCUGGAGGUUCGAGGUUAAAGAAGGUGAACAAUGACCGUUUCAGAGGUUGAAGAAGCUUAAUCGCCACCCAAUGGCUCAUAGCGAAUCCGACUUUCCCAAAUUGGAUUUUCAGUCACAUGACCGCUCCAUGCUAGCUCGUCGCACGCUAGUGAAGCCCUUAAGUAGAAGUUCCAAAUGGAUUGUACAAUUAUUUGUUAGAAUUGUGAUCAAGGAAAUAUUUUAUAUCUCCUCUCUUUGCUACACUACUGAAUCAAACUGAUGAAUAGUGUCUCCCCAAAGAAAAAUCGUGUGUUUCUCAUCCCUUUUUCUAUCAUAACGAAUGAAAACUUUAUGCAGGCUUGUUAUUGCCAAUUCGCCAUCAUGAGCUUGACAUUAGAAUAGAAACUUGCCAAUCUUCAACAGGACAUACAUAAAUCAGGCGUCAUUUUAUGGUUUACUUGGACCCCAUGAAUCUCACUCAGCUGAGCGACGGAGUAUAAAAGCGCACUACAUAAAACAUCAGCAUCUUUUAUCAUGUUCCUUUUAUUUUCUUUACCUUUUCUGUGCCCAAAAGAGCUUUUACUGCUACAAUCUUACAGUCAAAGAGGCAAAAAGGAGCAAAAAAAUAGGAGUUACAAAAUGGUGGCCAUAAUCACUCCGAAACCACUGCGCUACCGGUUUUAAAGUACACACAGCACGCGCAAAACCAUAUUAUGGUCUGUAAAUCAGAAAGCACACUCCAAAAGACAAGACUUCUAAAAUACAGUCUCUCGCAAUCUCUCUAUCAACAUGGCAAUCAGCAGCACAAGCUGUGUCUCGUCUCUCCUGUGGCAC